Molecule: long non-coding RNA, 57720 nt
Filed under: Ananas comosus (pineapple)
Lineage: Eukaryota; Viridiplantae; Streptophyta; Magnoliopsida; Poales; Bromeliaceae
Description: long non-coding RNA (ACOM_LNC012132)
Source: RNAcentral
AAUUAAUUACCUUGGGAGGACUUUUCUGCAAAUUGCACAUUGUAUAUAAAGUGCAUCUAGGGUUUCUUUGCACGAAACCCUAGAUCUAGCCAACCUAGUUCCCCAGCUACGCCCUAGCUAUCUUCAGCAGGUCCCUGCCCUAGCCGUGCACGCACCUCGGCCGCAGGCAAGCUUCCACGGCCGCCGAAAAAGCUUGGUGGCCUCUUCUCCACCAUCUUCUCCACCUAACCGCCACCCUCCUCGGCCGCCGAUCUCAGGGAUCAACUUGCACCCUUGGAGACACCACCCUCUGGCUGAGACCAACCUCCGGCGGCGUCCCUGUCGGCCUCUGCCGUCCGCGCGCACCACCGGCACCGCCUGGGCUCCCUGCCACCAACCCAGACCCGGCCUGGGUCGAGCUCAGCCUAGCCCGAGGCCCGUGAGCUGCCACCACCCUUGAUCGGCCGCGUCGCCCUCCUCGGGCCUCCGGUGAUGUCACGCCUCGGGACCCAGCAGAAGCCCGCCCGACGCGUGUCCAGACCCGCCAUAUGUCUAAAACAUAUAAGGCGUCUAAAACAAAACGAUAAAUAAGGCAAGAAGAGAGAGAACAUCUAGCUGUAUCAGAGCAAAGCGUAUUCUAUGAGCUACAAAAGGGAAAUGAGCAUAAAGUGAAAUCCGCUAUGUAAAAACAUAAAGUAAUACAAUAAGAAUCCCAAGAAUGAAAGCUAAACGAGGUACACAGGUGGUCUCUAUACAUGGUACAAAACUCUCUCUCUCACAAAAACCAAAAAGAAGAGAGUGACCACCUAGGAGCGACAGCAAGCUCCGCUAUCUAGCUAUGCGACUCCCUUGCCGCGAUCCCGUACCUCCGCCGGUGCCAAAGGCUCUCAAAUAAAACCAUAAAACAGAGGGCGUGAGAACUAUUGAAUAAUAGUUCCCAGUAGGCAAUUACUGGCUUCAGUGAAAUGCACCACUAAGUCCAAACUUAAAAAGGGGUCAGUAAGCAGAUAUAAACAAGAGCAAUAUGUACGACAAGUAUAUAAGCAUGAAUAUUUGCUACCACAUGAUAUCUCUACUUAGCAUGAUUUAGCAUAAGUAAGAAAAGCUAUUCUCGUAUGAAUGUACCCAAGCAUCGCUAGUAUGAUGUCCAUAAGUCAAAUAGUAAAGAUGUCCUUGUUUACUAUUCUAAUCAAUGUCCACAUGGCAUGAUGAAUGUUCAAAGUCAAAUCUGAAGAGACCCGCCUGAAAACUGUCUGGCCCUGAGACCCACCCGUAGGCUGUCUGGCCGGUGCCUAGCCUAAUGGUCCCGUGGUAGUCAACAUCCCUACUCUAGGAAUGAGCCUAGCCCACGGCAAUCCACUUCGGCGCCCAAUCCCGCACGGCGAAUAUGUAUCGCGAUGGCCAUCUUCGGAGUGCUGGCUUGUAGGAAGCGACCCUCACAAGUAUGUGCGAAUGAGUACAAUGGCAAGUAACCAAAAGAUCCGUCUCAAGUACCAAGUUCUCAUGUCUAACAACAUAAAAUACGUCACAACUCUCUCAUAGGCCUAUCUCUAUGUCAUCAUGUCUAAAACAUAGAAAGUAGUAGAUGUCCAUGACCUAUCAUUAAGUCUCAAUAUAAUAGUCUCAUAGUUUGCUAGUCCAAGUGCCCCUUUAUGACACUUUCAUUUACUAAGUCCAAGCUUAAACCAAAUGUUCAUAAAUGCAUAAUUGAGCCACUUUAAACAUAUGAGGCAUGUUUCCCAAUGGCUAGUGCGAACACUACUCAAAUGCAUGUAACAAUACCCAGAAUGCUCUACUAUAUAGAGUGAAAAUUAUCUUACACAUAACACAUGCAUUUUAAGUGUUCUAAAAUUCACAUAAAUUUCAUUUAGCAUAGAUUUGCAUUUAAAAUGAUGUUACGACGGGUAUAGAAAGAAUGGGGGCCAUUUCGCCCCGUUCUCAUGAAGCCAAACCCACCACAACUUUUGCGCUCCUUCGUUUGCUCCAACGAAGGUGUCCACUAGUCUCCUAGCACCCUAAAGAUGUAGGAAUAAGGGUUAAACGAAUCUUACGAUCAACCCUAAGUUCAGUCAAUAAGCAACAUAGGCUAAGGUGGAGAUACUCACCUCAAGUGAAGAAAUCCUCUCUCAAGCUCUAAAUGGGAGUUAGAGUUCUUCAAAUCCAACCUAAAUAAAGGUUCUAAACCCAUCAAUUAGGUUUCAAAGCCCUCAAAUCGAAAAUCCCCAAAAUAAACCCUAAAUCCCAAAAUCUAGGGUUUCUACCAACAAAAGCACCAAAGCUAGAAUCUAAAGGAAGGAAACUAGCCACAUACCUCUAGGAUGCUCCCAAUCAAGCUCAAAAUCCUCAAGGGUUGAAGAUUGAUCCUCCUCAAAGCUCCAACCACAAGCUCUAACCCUCCAAAGGUGAGAAAUGAGGUUGAGGAAGAUGCUCCAAAGCCUCCAAGCUAGUUCUCCUUCAACUCCUUCUUCUUCUUCUCCUUCUUCUUCUCUUUCUAGAGAGUGUAGAGAGAGUGUGAGGGAAAGAGAGAAGAGAAAGGCUCUAAAAGCCUUCCAAUGUAACAAAAUCCUGAUAAGCCCCUCAACAAUCUAAUCAGCACACUGCCCGAUUCUGGGCAGUUUUCGUUCAGAGUGACCGGUCUCUCCCUGCCUAGGACCGGUCUCUCGGAUCGUCCCGCAAAACCAACGUUCGGGAACCGGUCUCUCCCCACAUGGGAUCAGUCUCUCCCCGCGAAAACGUACUCGGGGAUCGAUCUCACCCGCCAGGGACCGGUUGCCUCAAGUCCUGCCGCAGCACUGUUCCGGGGGGACCGGUCUCUCCCACCAGGGACCAGUCCCCGAGAGUGAAAACUCUCAGGACUUAGCCAAAACUCCAGAAAUCGAACUUUUAGGUUGGAAUACCAUCUACGAUCUUCCACCAAGUGUGAAAAAGUUCAGAAUCCAUGAACCUCGCAAUUUGCAUAGGUUCGGUGUGUUACAUUCACCCCUCCUAAAAAGGAGUUUCGUCCGCGAAACUCAAAAGCAAACACAUACCUCAAAGCUCCAUCAGAAAAAGAUGGGGAUAGCGCUCCCGCAGCGCGCUCUCUAACUCCCACGUGGCCUCCGGCUCCCCGUGGUUGCUCCAAAAAUCCUUUACAUACGGAAUAUCCCGAUUCUGCAGUUUUUUCACCUCGCGAGCCAAGAUCUUUAUGGGUUGCUCCUCAAAGCUCAAGUGGUCCCGCAACUCCAACGGUGUAGCAUCCAACACAUGAGUCGGGUCGAAGACAUACUUUUGAAGGACCGAAACAUGAAAGACGUUGUGUACGCCCAAUAGGUUCGGUGGUAGAGCAAGUCGAUACGCUACCGGACCUACACACUCCAAGAUCUCAUACGGUCCAAUGAAACGGAGGCUCAACUUAUCCCGAAUCCCGAAUCUCCUGAUCCCUCUAGUCGGCGAGACCUUCAAAAAUACAUGGUCUCCAACUUAGAACUCCAAGUCUCGCCGCCGUCGAUCGGCGUAGCUCCUUUAUCUACUUUGUGCCGUCAAAAGUCGCUCCUGAGCAAUUCGAACUUUGUCCUCAGCUUCCUGGAGCACAUCAGGGCCUAAAGCCAAACUCUCGCCGACUUCACUCCAAUGAAGUGGCGAUCUGCACUUCCGUCUAUAAAGUGCUUCGAAGGGCGCCAUCUUGAUGCUUGCUUGAUAACUACUGUUAUAAGCAAACUCCGCCAUCGAUAGAUGCUGCGACCAUCCUUCCUGGAAGUCUAUCACACAUGCACGGAGCAUACUUCUAAAGUCUGAAUGGUGCGCUCCGACUACCCAUCACUCUGGGGGUGGAAAGUAGUGCUUAAGUCCAAUCAGGUGCCCAAGGCGUCUUGCAGACUCCUCCAAAAGUGAGACAUAAACCGAGUGUCUCGAUCCGAUACUAUCGAAGUAGGCACUCCGUGAAGUCGCACAAUCUCAUCAAGGUAUACUUGUGCGAGCUUCUCUCCGGUCCAAGUUGUAAUACACUGAAUUUUUGCAAAUUGCGAAAUUCGAGUGUGAGGAACGAUAUGUGGAUAUAUCCUACAUAUUCUAAAAGGCUUGGACAAGUUUUUGGUCAAGUUAGAGGAUGAUUGGAAAGCUAGAAGUGAGAAAGUGCAUUGAAAUCGCGAAAUUGGCAUUUUCUGCAUUGGUGUACCGGUACAAGCAUAAUGCUGUACCGGUACACCAAUGCAGCAGAGUCAGCUGCUACGGGACAGCAGGGUUAGUUUGGACUUUUCACCUCUUGUUCUUAUCUAUUUCAAUCCAGCAUGACCAGGGAUGCUCGCUGGAGUGUGCUAGAGCUCAGGAGAGCUGCCCUGCACCUUCUCCACUCUCUCUCUCUAGGGUUUUUCUCUCUCUACAUGGAAUUCGUUGUUUCGCGCCGUUUCCGCGCCGUGCUCGUUGUUCGCUGAUUGGAAGACUCGAGGAAAGUGUUUGGAACGUGGGAAAGAAGGGUUUUAUCGAGUUUUCUGUGAGGAUAUUGCUAGGGAAGCUGAUUCGCAGCUUCAGAGAGGUAACUACCUUGAUUUCUCUCGAAUUUAUGGUUUAGUAUCGGAUUUUGACGCAGUUUAGUGUCGUUGCUUCCAACUGAAUUAAAAGAGGUUUACAGCAGUAAAAAAAGAGUUAUUUGGCUGCUCAAUUAUCCGUUUAAACUCAGAGAUAUGUUGCUUUACAGCUUAUUAAGGGUAAUUGGUGAGUUAUAACUCAAUUUCGGAACUAUACGUGGUUUAAUCGCGUAAUUGACGCAGUUUCGUAUGAUCUCUUCGCAGCAGGUCUUUGAGCCUCUUUUAGCUGAACUUGUACUCUUAGAAGCUGGUUUGGAAGCUGUUCUAACCAAGGGUAAGUAGGAAUUUCAGUUAGAAAACUGAAUUCGCGAGAUUCCGACUAUAUUAUUAGUAAUUGAUGACUUUGUUGCCGUUUUGGAAAUAGUUCGCAGCGGACUUGCAACGGACCUUCGGAUUACCUUCGGCUGAUGCGUGAGGGAUUUUGGAAGCUUAACUUGAGGUAUUUAUUGAGCCAAAACAGGGAUUUAAGCUAUUCCUAUGUACUAAGUCCAAUUACGCCAAAAUUGGACCUUUCGGUUGAAGUUUUAAUACGAUAUUCAUGCCUUGUGUUCAGCAGGAUUGAGACCUAGUGGAGCUGAUCCUGGGGAUUCCUUUGUACUGACUUGAGCUUAGUACAAGGUGGGUCGGACCUAACCAGAGCAAGUGAAGCUCCCCUAUGUUCUAUGUGUAUUAUAGAAGUGAUCUAGCCUAUGCGUAUAUGAUUAAUAAGGACUUCGAAUGCGUCACCUUAAUGUUAGCUUGUUUGAAAUGAAAUCUCUAUUAAGUAGAGAACAUACAUGCAUAAGGUAUUCAGGUUUAUGCUGACUAGUUAAUAUGUUUCUAGCAUGUUCUUAGACACUAGAGAACAAUGACGUUCUUAUGACUUUAAUGACCCUAAAGUAUAGAACAAUAACAUGCUUUAUGCCUAUGCUGAUAGCGCUAUGAUAGUAGAAAGAUUCUAAUGCCAUAUGUAAAGUAGCAUUCCUCUCGCAUGUUUAUUAACCUAGUGGAUACUAGUUGUUGUCAAUAUUUGUUAUACAGAAAUGUCGAUCAAAGGAUCGAGAGCGAGAAUAUUGUGAGUUAAAACAUGAUAAUUGAGACACAUUGGACUGUGGAUUAUGCUUGCCUGCCAUCGUGCUCAUUCGCACAUGCUUGUGAGGGUAGCUCCCUACAAGCCGGCACUCCGGAGUUGGCCUACGCGAUAGUUGCUCGCCCGUGCGGGAUUGGGUGCCGAAGUGGAUUGCCGUGGGGAGUGUAUACUACCACGGGGCCAUUAGGCGCGGCGCAAGUUGGACUACUUUGAGUAGAUUCUUAUGAAUGAAAAGAAAGUACUAAAUGACAAAGGACAGUAAUGAAUGCUCAUCAGUUAUAGUUUACAGUAUUUACUUACACAUCCAUGUUCAUGCUUUUGUUUAUAGUAGUUGCUAUGCUUCUAUUACUCAACUGAUUCAUUACUGCAAAAAUCAUGAUUACAUGUGAUUACAUGCCUAUUGCCUGUUAGCAUUGCAUAUUUAUAUCAUGUAAUUAUCACUUUUACUUUCAUUUAGUACAUCUUGAGCCCAGUGGUGUAAUUCGCCGAGGCUGGCGGCUUAACCACUGGGAACUAUUGUUAAUAGUUCUCACGCUCUUUUUAUUGUUGUUUUUACAGAGCCAUCUACAGGAGAGGCUAGGGAUUGUGGCAAGGGAGUCGCGUCUAGCUAGACAUUGCUAGGAGCUUGCUAGUCGAUCACCUUGCUACUCGGGCUACGGUCGAGGGUGGUGUCCCCAUGUAUAGAGAGACUACCAUUGUAUCUUCUUUCGUAUACCCCGUGAUGUAUAUGUACUUCUUGGAUAGUCACUUCAGUUAUGAUACUUUCUCUUGUAGUUGAGAUUUUGGAUUGUACACUCUUUGUUCUUUUGCGGAUAGUAUAUCGACUUGUACUUUGCUCUGAUAUCAGGAUAGAAUUUUCUAUGUUUUUCUUCUUAUCGAUUUGUGUUCUUGUAGACGCCUUAUAUACUGCAGGUGUAUGGCGGGUCUGUGCACGUACCGGAUAUACUUCCGCUGGUACCCGGGCGUGACACAAGUAGUAUGAAUAGGUAUGAAGUGCGCCGACUUCGUCAACCUAUCCACGAUCACCCAAAUAGCGUCAUGUCCGGCCUGAGAGCGGGGCAAUCCAGUCACGAAAUCCAUGGUGAUCUUCUCCCACUUCCACACGGGAUCGGUAAACUCUGAAGUUUUCCCACGGGUAAUCGGUGCUCAGCUUUUAUUUGUUGGCAAGUUAGACAUCGAGCUACAAACUCGCCAACGUCCUUUUUCAUCCCGGACCACCAAUAGAGCAACUUUAAGUCCUUGUUCAUCUUAGUGCCACCCGGAUGUAUAGCAUUCGGUGCUCGGUGUGCUUCUUGAAGAAUAUCCUUUUUAAUUCCCGAAUCCGCCGGUACACAAAUCCGCCCACUGAAACGCAUCAAUCCUUUGUCAUCCACAAGGUAGUCGCUGGUGCAACCAUCAACCAUUUUACCUUUAAUCCUUUGCAACUCCAUAUCGGAAGCUUGCUUUUCUUUAAUUCGAUCCAAAAGUGUAGGUUGCACUACCAAAGUCAUUAACCUCAAGGGCGUGUCAGGAGUCACCACCUCCAACUCCAACCGCUUCAUCUGCUCGAUCAGCCGCGGUUGAGUAACAACAUGCAUCGCUAAGUUUUUCGUUGAUUUCCUACAUAGCGCAUCCGUCACCACGUUAGCCUUGCCCGGGUGGUAAAGAAUAGUAAAAUCAUAAUCCUUGAGCAGCUCCAACCAUCUGCGCUGCCUCAAGUUUAACUCCUUCUGAGUGAACAGGUAUUUCAAGCUCUUGUGAUCCGUGUAUACUUCACACCGCUCGCGAUACAAGUAGUGGCGCCAUAACUUCAAUGCGAAGACUACGGCCGCCAACUCCAAAUCAUGCGUAGGGUAGUUCUUUUCAUAUUCCUUUAGUUUGCGCGAAGCAUACGCGAUCACUUUGCCGUCCUGCAUCAAAACACAGCCCAAUCCACUAAGAGAUGCAUCAUUGUAAACCACAUACCCUGCUCCAGCAACUGGCAGGGUUAGGAUUGGGGCGUUCGUCAAUCGUUGCUUCAACUCUUGGAAGCUUCUUUCACACGCAUCAUUCCAGAUGAAAUUGACACCUUUUUGCGUGAGCCUUGUGAGGGGAGUAGAUAGCUUAGCGAACCCCUCGACAAAUCUCCAGUAAUAACCGGCCAGUCCAAGGAAGCUCCGUAUCUCCGUGACACUCGUCGGUCUCGUCCAAUCCUUGAUUGCCUCAAUCUUUUUAGGAUCCACGGCUAUACCCGAUCCCGAUAUCAAAUGUCCAAGGAAGGCUACCUCCCGAAGCCAAAAUUCACACUUUUUCAACUUGGCAUAAAGCUUCUUUUCCCGAAGUAUUUGAAGUACAAGCCUCAAAUACUCCUCGUGAUCCGCACCACUUCGGGAAUAAACCAAAAUGUCGUCGAUAAACAUACGACGAACCUGUCCAGGUAAGGCUUAAAAAUACGGUUCAUCAGAUCCAUAAAAGCUGUCGGGGCAUUAGUAAGUCCGAACGGCAUAACUGUGAACUCAUAAUAUCUAUACCGUAUUCUAAAAACCGUCUUCGAUACAUCCUCAGGUUUGAUCUUUAACUUGUGGUAUCCCGACUGCAAGUCGAUCUUGGAAUACACACACGAUUCUUGAAGCUGAUCAAACAAGUCGUCAAUCCUCGGUAACGGAUACUUAUUCUUGAUCGUGACUUUAUUGAGUUCACUAUAGUCCACAUAUAGGCGAAGUGAUCCGUCCUUUUUCUUGACGAACAAAACUAGCGCUCCCCACAGCGAGACGCUCUGUCGAAUAAAGCCCUUAUCCAACAGAUCCUGUAGCUGUGCCCUCAGCUCCUUCAGCUCCGCCGGUGCCAUCCUAUAGGGUGCCUUCGAGAUUGGAGUAGUCACAGGGACGAGAUCUACCACAAACUCGAUCUCCCUAUCGGGUGGCAUACCCGGUAGCUCAGCUAGAAACACAUCUUGAAACUCCCGUACCACCGAGAUAUCCUCAAUCCUAGGAGUGUCAUCCUCGCCCCUCAACACAACACUAGCCAAGUAGGCUACACAUCCUUGGCUGAUCAGCUGCCUAGCUCGAGACGAGCUGAUCGACAUCGCAAAAAGCGAACUCCGGCAUCCUCUAAACACAACCUCAGUUGCCCCGGUUCUCUAAAAGUAACCGUGCGAUUCUUACAAUCAAUCAUGGUAUAAUACUUGAUUAGCCAAUCCAUAUCCAAGACCACAUCGAAAUCCCCAAGCUUGCGCAAAGCUAGCAAAUCCACGGACGUGAUCCAAUCUCCUACCCGAAUAGGGCAACUAGGGCAAUACUCUCUAAUAUCCAGAGUGUGGUCGGGUACAACAACAUGUCCCGGAUGCAAUAAGGAAAUCAAAAGGAUGCCAUGCAACUCGGCAACAGCCGAUCUAUAAAUAAAUGCGAUGCACCGGUAUCAAAUAAAGCACGAACUCUAAUGCCAUCAAGUAAAAUGAACCUGCAACCACAUCCUCGGCUGCUGCCGCCUCCUCGGUCUUAGCGGCAUAUAAACGCCCACUUGGGGCCUGUCGAGAUCCCUCGCUCUGGCGCUGGACAGGUGGCCGUCCAGGCUAGUACUGUGUCGACGGAGUCCCGUGGCUGACGGCUGGUAGAGCCGGUGCCGAUGCAGUCGACGGUGGCGGUGAAGAACCUCUCAGGCACUUGGUCCGAACGUGGCCCUCCUGGCCACACUGGAAGCACCUGCCCGCCGGCUGUGGACACUGCGGUAGGUAAUGAGGACCACCACAGAUCACACACGAGGAAGGCCGACGACGGUCAAAACCUCCUCGCUGCGCUGCUGAGCCGCGUCCACGCUGCUGGCUCCUAGGAUACUUCGGCGGUCUCCUAGAGUGCGUCUGGCUCGCACCCUCAACCGCAGGCCUCUUGGACUUACCUUUGUCCAUGGCCUCUCGCCGCUCCUGGACAUCUGCCGCGCUGCUCUCCACUAUGAGCGCGCGAUCCACCACCUCCGGGUAGGUUUGGAGGUUAGAGGAUUGCACAAACCGGAAAAUCGAUGGUCACAACCCUCGCUCGAAGAUGCGGGCCUUAUCCUCGUUGUCCCGCACGACGAAAGGCAUGCAGUGCAAAAGCCGAGAAAACUCCCACUCGUACUCGGCUACAGUCCGGUCUCCUUGGCGCAAGUUGCGUAAGUCCUGCUUCAUCUUCCUCUUGACGCUGGUCGGGAAGUAGUGCGCCAACAGAAGCUCCUUGAACCUCUUCCACGAGAUAGCCGCCAAAUCAGUACUGGGGUUCUCCUGGAGAUCCAACCACCAGCGGUAGGCCUCGCCGUCCAAGUGGUGUGUGGCGAGCCAAACUCGAUCUCUCUCCUCCACGAAGGUAUCGCGGAAGAGCUUCUCCAUAUGCAUCAACCACUUUUCCACGAUCCAGUGGUCGACCUUCUCGCCAUCAAAGAUCCGAGGACUGCACCUUCUAAACUCGUUGAGGCGCUCCAUGAGUCGGUCCCGCUCCGCUCCCUUGACCAAGGUAGGGAAAGCUGCUCCAACCGGGGGCCUCUUCACAGGUGGUACCGUGAUGGCCUCCUCCUGAGGCACGGCCGCGAGCGCUGCUCGCGAAGAACUGGGAGCCGAGAACGACGCUCUCGGCGCGACGUCCACAACUGGUGCUAGCGGUGUAGGGGCUUGAGUCUCCCUGGAGGCUGCCGCCUGCUGUAAAAGAAGCUUCUCCAGGCGCUUCAUCCGGGCCUCCUAUCGGUGCGCCGCCUCAGUCUGCUGUCGGGCCGUCUCCGCCUGCUGCGUCACCAAGUCAGUAAGAGCCGCAAGUUGGCUCCUCAACUCUCGGACCUCGCCGGAUCAGGAAGGCGGAGGUCUCGACCUCCUCCAAGUUUGCCGCGUUAUCCGCUCCGGCAGAUUGGGAGCGUGUAAUCGGCAUCGUCACUACAACAUCAUAGAAGUGUAAGUUAGUAAACUCACGCUAUCGAAUCCCCACUCAAAAAGGCAAUACCCAAAUCAUGCGAAAGUAAGAAAGUGUGCUUCACUACUAACUCCCGAUGUUACGUUGUCGGCCGCCAACGUAACCCUCCACGAAGUUAGGAGCUAUACACUACGAUUUAACUCCACUUUCUAGAGUUAUCAAGGUACCCAAUCAUGAUACUUUCGCUCGCAAGUCGAAUAGACCUCGUCUCUCACGAGCCUAUUUCCUAUAGUCCAACCGGCCUAAGGUUUGCUAGGUCCACAAAGACUAAACCCUAGGCUCUGAUACCAAAACUAAUCUGUAACGCCCCGGGACCCAGCGGAAGUGUCACGCCCCGGGACCGGCGGAGGCCCUCCCGGUAGCGUGCCCAGACCCGCCAUAUGUCUACACAUAUAAGGCGUCUACAAUAAAAGCGGAAGUAAAAGCAAGAAAUAGAACAAAUAGAAUAAUAACAACUAAUGAUAUCAGAGCGAGUAAAGUUCUAUCAUCUAAACUAGAGUAAAAGAAACAUAACUAGACAAUGAAAGUAAAGCACAAAGNAGAAUAAUAACAACUAAUGAUAUCAGAGCGAGUAAAGUUCUAUCAUCUAAACUAGAGUAAAAGAAACAUAACUAGACAAUGAAAGUAAAGCACAAAGUGAUACAAUGCUAUCUCCUCAAAAAGAAUACAAAGAUCUAAAAGAAGGGUGGUCUCUAUACAUAUACGGGUACAACUCACAACCUCUCACAAAAUAAAACCACGAGAGAUAGACCACCUAUCAAAUCACCCUCGAAGGAAGCUAGCUCGAAGCAACUCCCUUCCCUCGGUCCCUAGCCUCUCCCGGCAUGGAAGGCUCUAAAAGAAAGUAUAAAACAGAGGGCGUGAGAACUAUAAUUUAUAGUUCCCAGUGGGCAAUUACUGACCUCAGCUCAAUGCACCACUAGGCCCCAAAAGAAAGGGUAAGUCGAAAGCAAUAGUAAUAACGAGUAAUUUGCAUUUAUGAAAGUAUAAUGAAAUGCUAAACUAUUACUUGCAAUUAAACAUGGCAUUUAUGUAAUGCACAACUAUGUUGUCAUGAAGGAUAUGUCUCUACUUAGCCAUAAAUAAUGUCAUGGUUUACUUAAUGAAAUUAUGAGGAUUAUCCUUUAUCAUAGCAACAUUGUAUAUAUGAAUGCAAAUAAGCAAUGUCUCCUAGCAUACUACAUGUAUGUAUGUAUACCCAAAUGUCCAAAUCUAUACUAGAAGCAAGUCUGAGUAAUCCAACUACUACUCUCUAUCUAGUAGUAAUUAUAACAAACUCAUCCCGUGUCGAUUUUCAUUUCCAAUUAAGGACCUACCCAAGGUAGUCCAGCUUGUGCCGCCUAAGUGCCUGUGGUAGCCUAACAUCCCUACUCUUGGAAUGUGUCUGUCCCACUCGACCCCGUAGGCUUCUCAAUGCCGCACGAGCGAACAUAGUCGCAUAGGCUGACUCCGGAGUGCCGUCUUGUAGGGAGCGACCCUCACAAGCAUGUGCGAAUGAGCACAAAUGGCAAACAAGCAAGGUCAAUGUCUCAAAUAUCCAAUCAUCAUGUCUCUAACAUGGCAAUAAUCACUAGCAUCUCGAAGAUCUAGUUCUAUGUCACAAUGUGAAAUUCUCAUAUUUACUAAGUCUAGUGCCCCUUUAUGACACUUAGACAUUUUGAUGUACAAGCAUAUCCAACUCUCUCAGUGGCACUAUCCACUAGGUUCACACAUAACCCGAGCUCAAUGCCCCUUCAUGACAUUAGCCCAAUUAUUCACAAGUAGUACAAGUCCCCGAGCCUCUGUAUGGCUUCUAAAAACCUUUAAGUCUUAAAUAGGAGUAACUCUAAAUGCAAGCAUGAGAUGCUCAUUUUCACAUUAGGAAUUAGAAUUUCGAGUCUCAAUAGGGUGCCGAACAUGUACAAGUUCCACCAGCUAAUUUUCUACUAUACAGAGGUCCAAAAUUUUAUUGUACAUAACAUAGGUAUGUUAAGCAUCCUAAAAUUCACAAUAAAUGUAUCUAGCAUGGAAAUGCAUGAAUUUUUUUUGUAUACGAAACACUUAUCACCAAAUAUGAGGAUUUCUCAUAUCAUAGGCUAGGUCAAACCCACCGACGACAACGAAGCUUUUCGUUUGCUCCAACGAAGGUAUCCACUAGCUUCCUAGCACCCUAGGAACAUCAAAAAUGGGGUUACUCAAACGAUACGAAGAGCAAAAAGCUCAAUCAUUAACCUAGAAGCAAAAGGGGCAAAACUCACCUCAAGAGUAAAAAUCCUCUCCUAAGCUCCAAAAGAGAGCUAGAACCCUUCCAAUCCAAGCCCAAGGAAGGUUCUAAACCAAUCAAUCUAGCCUCAAAAGCCUUAGAAUGAAAAUGCCCAAAAAUAAACCCUAAGUUCCAAAUCUAGGGUUUCAUCUCAAAGAAAGCUCUAAAAUCCAAAACUAAGAGGAAAGGAUCUUGCCACUUACCUCUUAGAAGCUUCAAAACAAGCUCAAAGUCCACAAACUUCUAGGAUCUUCCCUUCACCAAGCUCCAAACCCAAGUUUCCAAGCUUCAUCCAUGGUGGAAAAGGCACCAAAGGGCAAAAGAGAAGAAAAAUCCAUAAAAAACCAUGCAAAAUGGAGAUCAAAUCCAAAGAGGCAAGGGAGGACUUCUUUUACCUUGUCUCCCUAUGCUCUCAGCUCAGAAAAAUGCCCUAGGGCGUCGGGGGUUCUAAUAGAAGAGCUAAAAAAGCAAAAACACCUCUGCAGAUCAAACUGUGCGAAAUCAGUCCCCUUGUACCGGUACACAGGCUCUUGUACCGGUACAAGAGCCACGAAAAUGCCAACCCGAGGCUAGGGUCGCCGGGUUCAGCAGCUCUGUACCGGUACAAGCCAGUGGCUGUACCGGUACAACCAUCAACCUUGUACUUAUACAGCCAUCAGCCCUGUACCGGUACAAGCCCGGCAGAAUGCAAUCCGAGAGUCAGCCAAAUUCCGUUUUUUCGGAUUUUGGUGCAAGACUUUAAACCACAAUUCUCGGGACACGUGCUAUAGGUCGGAACACAGUCAACGACCCACCAGAAAAUCUGAAAAAGCUCAGAACACACCCAAAACACUCGAACCUCGCAAUUUGCAAAGGUCCAGUGUGUUACAGGAAGCCCGCCCGGCGCGUAUCGAGAGCCGCCAUAUGUCUAAAACAUAUAAGGCGUCUAAAACAAAAUGAUAAAUAAGGCAAGAAGAGAGAGAACAUCUAGCUAUAUCAGAGCAAAGUGUAUUCUAUGAGCUACAAAAGGGAAAGGAGCAUAAAGUGAAAUUCGCUAUGUAAAAAUAUAAAGUAAUACAAUAAGAAUCCCAAGAACGAAAGCUAAACGAGGUACACAGGUGGUCUCUAUACAUGGUACAAAACUCCCUCUCUCACAAAAACCAAAAAGAAGAGAGUGACCACCUAGGAGCGACAGCAAGCUCCGCUAUCUAGCUAUGCGACUCCCUUGCCGCGAUCCCGUGCCUCCGCCGGUGCCGAAGGCUCUGAAAUAAAACUAUAAAACAGAGGGCGUGAGAACUAUUGAAUAAUAGUUCCCAGUGGGCAAUUACUGGCUUCAGUGAAGUGCACCACUAGGCUCAAACUAAAAAAGGGGUCAGUAAGCAGAUAUAAACAAGAGCGAUAUAUACGACAAGUAAAUAAGCAUGAAUAUUUGCUACCACAUGAUAUCUCUACUUAGCAUGAUUUAGCAUAAGUAAGAAAAGCUAGUGCGAACACUACUAGUGAAAUGCACCACUAGUCUCAUAGUUUGCUAGUCCAAGUGCCCCUUUAUGACAUUUUCAUUUACUAAGUCCAAGCUUAAACCAAAUGUUCAUAAAUGCAUAAUUGAGCCACUUUAAACAUAUGAGGCAUGUUUCCCAACGGCUAGUGCGAACACUACUCAAAUGCAUGUAAUAAUACCCAGAAUGCUCUACUAUAUAGAGUGAAAAUUAUCUUACAUAUAACACAUGCAUUUUAAGUGUUCUAAAAUUGACAUUAAUUCUAUUUAGCGUAGAUUUUCAUUUAAAAUGACGUUACGACGGGUAUAGAAAGCAUGGGGGCCAUUUCGCCUCGUUCUUAUGAAGCCAAACCCACCACAACUCUUGCGCUCCUUCGUUUGCUCCAACGAAGGUGUCCACUAGUCUCCUAGCACUCUAAAGAUGUAGGAACAAGGGUUAAACGAAUAUUACGAUCAACCCUAAGCUCAAUCAAUAAGCAACAUAGGCUAAGGUGGAGGUACUCACCUCAAGUGAAGAAAUCCUCUCUCAAGCUCCAAAUGGGAGUUAGAGUUCUUCAAAUCCAACCUAAAUAAAGGUUCUAAACCCAUCAAUUAGGUUUCAAAGCCCUCAAAAUCAAAAAUUUCCAAAAAUAAACCCUAAAUCCCAAAAUCUAGGAUUUCUACCAACAAAAGCACCAAAGUUAGAAUCUAGAGAAAGGAAAUUAGCCACAUACCUCUAGGAUGCUCCCAGCCAAGCUCAAAAUCCUCAAGGGUUGAAGAUUGAUCCUCCUCAAAGCUUCAACCACAAGCUCUAGCCCUCCAAAGGUGAGAAAUGAGGUUGAGGAAGAUGCUCCAAAGCCUCCAAGCUAGUUUUCCUUCUACUCCUUCUUCUUCUUCUCCUUCUUCUUCUCUUUCUAGAGAAUGUAGAGAGAGUGUGAGGGAGAGAAAUGAGGGAAAGAGAGAAGAGAAAGGCUCUAAAAGCCUUCUAAUGUAACAAAAUUCUGAUAAGCCCAUCAACAAUCCAAUUAGCACACUGCCCGGGUCUGGGCAGUUUUCGUCCAGAGGGACCGGUCUCUCCCUGCCUGGGACCGGUCUCUCGGUUCGUCCCACAAAACUAACGUUUGGGAACCGGUCUCUCCCCGCAUGGAACCGGUCUCUCCCCGCGAAAACAUACUCGGGGAUCAAUCUCACCCGCCAAGGACCGGUUGCCUCAAGUCCUGCCACAGCAGUGUUCCGGGGGGACCAGUUUUUCCCACCAGGGACCGGUCCCCGAGAGUAAAAACUCUCAGGACUUAGCCAAAACUCCAGAAAUCGAACUUUUAGGUCGGAAUACCAUCUAGACUUUCCACCAAGUGUGGAAAAGUUCAGAAUCCAUAUCAAACACUCGAACCUUGCAAUUUGCACAGGUUUAGUGUGUUACAGGUGACCCUACGCUCACCGCUACUGCCCUCCCCGUGGGCUGACGGCCGCCGCCCUCCUCCCUGCGACCGCCCAGCCCGAGCUCAUGCUGAGGCCGAGCUAUCUUCCAACCUGCGCGCUGCAGCCGCCCACGGUCGGCCGCACUGCCAUCUCUUGGCCUCCAGCGACCGGUCGCCGUCUCCCUGGAGCUUUCCCUGCCGCCACCGCCGCCUCCUUGAACCGAGGCCACUUGUGCGGUCCCGUGCCUUGCCUCCGCGCCACCGGCCGCCUCCCGCUGUCGAACAGCACAUGCCCCGGCAGCCGGCUUGCCCGCCGUCCGGCCGCCGCCGGCCGCCCCGUGCCCUAUUGUGCUCUGAUAUGGCUGAUUAUUACUUUCUGCACAUUGUUUCGAGUUUCGGUCACCUUUUCAGCGAUCCGAAGACACCCCGAUAACUGUGAAAGUGAGCAUGAUGAUCUCUGAUUCAUGCCAAACAUCGUGCUCACCUCCAUAUGUCUCAACGAAGCCCCAGUGUGCGUAUUAAACGCGGGUUAAACACUAUGCCCGCUGCUUCACUGAAUUUUGCGUCGUCUGUGCGCUCGCCGCAGUGGCCGACUGCUCUCCAAAGUGUGAGCACGGCCUCCGGCACAUCGAGACCUGACAGUGGAUGUCUCGGCCAGGUUAGAUAACCCUCGGUUUGCGCUGGCGGGCCGUAAAACCUCGAAAAUCACAUAAAAUAAUGUGAUUUUAUGUAACCGAGAGGGUUUUUAUGCAAUUGUUUAAUUUGUGGUUCCUGUUGGCAGUGUGUGCGGGCAGCGGGUAACCUCUGGACUGGUUGUCCAAGACCCCAAGCCCUUCCGAAAGUCAAAUGUUGAUUCCCGGUGCGUUUUUCGGUGAAAUCCGCCGAUGGAACGCGUUUUCGGUUAGGAAUUCUUCCGACGGUACCUCGUAAUAAUUUGUACCAUCGCUGAGCCUUGUUGGUUUGUCACUCGUGUCGUUUCGAGGGCUCGAAAACAACGGGUGAGUGACGGUGGGUUCCGGUGUCGAAUUGGACACUUUCGGGAACCCGGAUCGGAACAAUUAUUCGAUGAUAAUCAUUUCGAAGUGAGAUAAUGUUUUUGCUGCCGCCUCACACAAAAAUAUGUGUUUUGUAGCAGCAGGUGACUCGUAGCUCGAGUCGGUAUGUUCCGGGACAGUUCAUGGGUCCCGGCGGAGUCCCAGUGCAAUUUUUGGGACUUUCGACGUGUUCGGCAAUCGGUUUCGGGAAACCGAUUCCCGUAGGGUUAUUGGUUGGGUUUGUGAGUUAGUAAUUUGUGUUGUGGGUUGGACGCUAACCCGAUGGACCCUUCGUAGGUCCAGUUGUGAUUUCCUCCGCAGUUGGAAAGCCAGUACCACAUUUGUACAGGUGGGUACUUCGAUCCUAAGUCGGUACAGUGGUGCACACUCGGUGAUAUCUUCUUACCCUUGUUCUCCUAUUGUUACUCUACAUGCAUAUAUUAUAUGUUGAGUCUAGCACCUAUACCAUGUUUUCUUAUUGCUCUACUUAGCUGUUUUGCAUAUCCUGUAUCAUACUUAGAGUAGAGUGGUUUCGUGAUUAUUUGUGAUAUCUGUGACCUGGUUGGUUGGUUCUCGUAUCUCGUAUCUGUGACCUAGUUGGUCGGCUUAUUGUAUUAUUAUCGUGACCUACGUGGUCGGUUGGACUAUUUCACAACCUAUACGGUCGGUGUGCCCUGAGGGGCAGGAUUGUCGGUUAGUUGCCGACGGUUGGCUAUUGAGCAUUUAGCAUCGAUCGCCACUACUCGUACGCAUUUCACGAACACCAGCGGUCUGAUCCAUCGCAAGAGGGUGUUCUUUUCCGAAAAAAGUGGUUGGAUGUGCCAGCCCGUGAACCCAGCGGUCAGAACUGGGUUAUAUGUAGCCCGUGAGCCCAACGGUCAGAACUGGGUUAUACAGGUAGAGUGGCAGUGGCAUAGGCCUAAGGUGUUGCGGACCAAUAUUGCUGUUUCAAAUUUGGUAUUUUUGGACUUGUCGUCCGGUUGAUGCAUACAUACAAUAGCGGUAGUUGUUCAUUUAUACAUACUGUUCAUUUAUUAUCGUUGUUACUGUAUUACUCUUACCCAUACCUUUGUUUAGCCUCCUUGACUGGUGAGUACCUCUCGCCCUCGUCGGCUUACGGUAAUUACUGGGAGGGGAGACAUAUUUACAUGUUCUCACCCCCCACCCCGAUUACAGGUGACAUCGCGGGUCCUAAUGGGACGAUUCGCGAGGAGCGAGUCGAGCAAUCGAUAGUGCCACCGUCCCGUUGUUGGUUAAUUCUCUAACCUAGCUUCUUUAAAUAAAUGACUUAGACAGUUAUUUAGUUCAGUUGCUAUUACUUUGAAUUCAUCUGGUUUUAUGAAUAUAAUAAUGGAAUUGGAAUUUCUAUGGAAUGGAAAUGAUUUUCUACCCCUCGUGGUAGCGAGUUUUUUUUUAAAAAAGUUUCUGUGUGGGAAACAGUUUAAAAGGUUUUCUUAUGAUUUUCAUGACUUAGUAUUUUAAAAUGAGUUUCCAGGUAGGAAAUAUUUUAAACUAAUAGUUGUGGAUUUAUGAAUAACUCUGGUUAUAGAUGUGAUUGUGAAUGGUGUGUGAUUAUGUGUAUGUGCAUAUCUGUGGUUGUAUCAUGUUUGGCAAAUCUUGUAUCUUGUACUUGUACGACGCCGUGCAAAUACAAGGAAGACUCUGUCUGCGUGAACAGUAGACUCCCUAUAUUUGUAGCGGAUCUGGCAUACCCUGGGGGUCAGGUUUUCAAAAAAAAAAAAAAUUGGGCACUUCUGCUUUGUUUUUAUACCAAAAUGGGACCCCGGGGCGUGAUAAACAUAGGAUUGCGAUUUCGUGAAAAUGUCAGGGCGACUGACAUUGAGUUUUAACGCGAUGAGCUAGAUUAGCAAAGAGAGUCACAAGUACGUAUAGAUUUCAUAAAUUAAAUACAUGCACAUCCAUUCUAAAAUUUUACAUUCAUUUUUUUUAAUACACUUAUACAGGUUACAUGGAUGCCUUAUACGGAGGAUGUUUUGAACGGUCUUCCUGCAUUUUGUCUCGAGGGUUCUACAGUCUGGCGUUUGAGAACUUGUUUGAUAUGCUAUCAUAUUGUCGAGCUACAUGUACUUGAUCGAGUUCUGCGUCAGUUUGGAUUGCUACAGCAUAUACUGAACCCCGUAGAAGCUAUACAGAGGAUCACCUCGCAGAGUAGAUCAGGCGAGGACUGGGCAGCGUUUUAUGCUCCAUAUAUUCAGCGUUAAGCAGAUUGUUUGGAGCGUAUUGCGGAGUAGAGUCCUUUCGUCGAUGCACAUCCGAUACGAGCCACCUCUGUGUACAUGCAGUGGUAUUGGGGGAUCACAAGGAGAUAGAUUUUUCGUCCUGUACAGCGGCCUCCACUACUUUUCUGCUGUGAGGGAAUGUCGAGCGACGAUUGGCAAGAUUAUUUUAUUUUAUAGUUUAUUUUAAUAUAAGGAUAUUCAUUAUAUAUAAUCAUGUAUGGUUAUACAGGUGUAUGCUAUGCGGCAUACUGUUAGCAGUAUUGGUCAUUUGAUGGAUGAUCCUCAGGAGCCCACUAGAAUGAUGGAUGCUCUAUCACAUGUGAGGUGGGAUCUCGAGAGUGUGUUAGAGAGCCUUCUGACAUUACUCGUGACAGGGUAUCCGGAUGUUUUUUCUCCGACUUUUGGUGAUUACGGUGAUAUUCCCUCCACCUCGAUGCCUGCGUAUGAUUUUUCAUCGACAUCCGUCCCAAUUCAUCCAUCUGAUGUCCAUUCGACUUAUGAUGUCCCUUCGACAUUGAAAGUGCAGUUUGAUAUUCCGUCAACAUCCAUCCCUCCAUUUAAUAUUCCAUCUACGUCAGAGGUAUCUAUUUUGAUAUUCCAUUCAUGCCUAUCAAUCUUUGUGACGUUCCAUCCACGUCGCAAGUUUGUCGCGAUGAUGUUGUAUAUCGAUAUAGGCAACGAUGACAGAGUCAUAUUGAGACGCAGGACGAGAUACUACCAUCAGUUGUUGAGCAGGGGAUGGAGCCGAUUGUCGACGGCAUCGCCAUCGAGUAUAUUGAUCAGAUGCAUGUCAUUGAGCCCGUGCAGCCUGAGAUGGAGCAUGACAUAUAUAUUCGAGGACGGAGUUGAGGACGCGGUCGUGGACGUGGAUGUAGACGUGGCAGGGGACAAGGGCGAGAGCAUAGGAGGGGAAUGGAGGGGACUUGAUUUUUUUUUAUUAUUUUUGGGAUUAUUAUGUAUAUUUGAUAUUUCAUAUCUUUCUACAUUGAUUUUUUAUAGUAUUAUCUAAAUUUAUUCAUAUUGAAAUGUGUUGAUAUUGGUAUAGCUCAUUUUAUAUGCUUAAAAUGUGGUUGAAGUUGGUAUAGAUGAUUUUAUGUAUUUAUUGCUGUAAUUGAAAUACUUGAAAACAUUGCUAUUUUGUAUAAUGUGAAAAUUUUGCAAAGUUGUUGCUAUGUGGUUGUUGCAUUGCUUAAAUGCGGUGAACCAUUUACCGUAUAUAAAUGCGGUGAAUGGUUCACCGCUUUUAAAAGCGGUGAAUGGUUCACCGCAUAUAAGCGGUGACCAUUCACCGCAUUUAUGAGUUUUCUCGACACCCAACCGUUGGGAGGAACAACAUAAAGGCGGUGAAUGGUUCACCGCCUUUAUAGGAUUUUUAAAUCCUUAUGAAAGCGGUGAACCAUUUACCGCUUUCACUUGAAAGCGGCAAAUGGUUCACCGCUUUUAUCCUCUCCCGCCAGCUCACUGCCCACAUGGCAGUUUUGAACCUAUUUUUGUAAAUACAAAUUUCAGAGGCCUAUUUUUAAAAUAAAAGAGUUGGAGGAGACUAGUUGGGUAAAAAUCCCAACAUAGCAUCUGAGAAAAGGUGCUCUCUCACAUGCCUUAGCUCCUAUUAGAGGAUAAAUUCCUACAAUCGGUUCUAUUAGCAUGUGAAAAUUUCUGUUGCAUUUUUUGAACUACGAUUUGUCACGCCCCAACGCGAUGCGUAACAGACGCCGCAUAUGGCACGCCCCGGGACCCAGCUGAAGCCCGUCCGGUGCGUGUCUAGACCCGCCAUAUGCCAACCACAUAUAAGGCGUCUACAACAAGCGGUAUUUAAAGCAAUAAUGAACAAUAUUUAGAGAUAUCAGAGUAUGAUUUUAACUAAAUUCUAGAAAGAAGUGGAUAGAUAAAACUAAACAACUAGCAUAAACCAUAAGAGAUACAACAAGUGCUAAAUAUUCAAAAAUGGUAGCCUCUACACAUAGGUACAACACUCUCAUCCUCUCCAAAAUAAAACGAAAGAGAGCUAAGCCACCUAAAGCGAAAUCCUCGCUAUGUAGCCCGAAGCGACACCCUUGCCGCGGUCCCGAGCCUCUCCCGGCAUGGAAGGCUCUGAAAUAAAACAACAAAACAGAGGGCAUGAGAACAAUUAAUCAAUAGUUCCCAGUGGGCAAACCGCUGACCGCAGCGAAAUACUCCACUAGGCUAGAGAGGCGAAAGAACAAUAGUAUACAACAAGUAUUGAAAUGCAACGAUUAACUUGGCUAAGUUACUAUGCCUCGUGUUUAGCAUGAUAUUUAAGCAUGAAAAGUUACUAAUCUAUCAUGAUCGAGUAUAUCCAAGAAGUAUACUAUUAUGCUCUAAAUAUAACCAUCAUGAAUAUAAAUAUGCACCAAACAUGGUUCACUAAUAUACCACUAUGUCUAAUUAUUGUAAUAAUAUGCCCAACCAAUACCUACUAUCAAGUAGUAAAAGUCAUUUAGUUGUUUCGAGGUCAAUUUCCAUUUCCAAUAUAGGACCUACACAAGUGUAGUCCAGCUUGUGCCGCCUAAUGGCCCCGGGUAGUCCAGCAUUUCUCUAGGAAUGUGACUGUCCAACGGUGACCCAGUAGGCCCUCAAUCCCGCACGGGCGAGCAUAUGUCGCGUAGGCCAACUCCGGAGUGCCGGCUUGUAGGGAUCGACCCUUACAAGCAUGUGCGAAUAAGCACAAAUGGCAAGCAAACGAAAUCAUCAUCUCAAGUACUCGGUCAUCAUGUCUCUAACAUGGUAUAAUACUAGCAACCUCAAAGGUCUAGUUCUAUGUCACAAUGUAAUGAUUCAAUCAUUUACUAAUCUAAUGCCACUUUAUGACAUUAUAGUUUGCCAAGCCCAAACAUAUUCCAAGCUCAAUAUCCUUUUAUGACAUUGUAGCUUGCUAAGUCCAUACAUACUCCAAGUUCAAUACCACUUUAUGACAUAGGGUUUCUACUGUAUUUAGCAUAUGUCCAUUGUUCAUAAGCAAGUAAUUGCAUGUCAUUUAUCUACAUAUAGCAUAAUUCCAACAGACCAUGAGAAUACCAUAUACUAGCAUGAGUACUAUGCACCUAUUUCUCUACUACAUAGAGAUAAAAUCUCAUGAUACAUAACGUAUGCCUUUUAAGUACUCUAAAAUUCAUUUAUGCUCUAUCUAGCAUGAAUAUGCAUGAAUAUUUAUUUUACAAUAAGGAAUAAAGCAUGGGGGGGGUUCACCCAUUUCGGUAAGGUCAAACCCAUCAAGAGCUCCUUGUAACCUUUUUGUUUGCGUGAACGAAGGUGCCCACAAGUCUCCUAACUCCCUAAAGAAAAUUCUAAGAGGGUUAGACGAAACGAACGAACACCCAAAGUGUUCAUCUUUAACCAACCCAAGAAAAGAGUCGAAACUCACCUAAAUGUAGGAAAAACCCUCUCAAAUCCCAAAUGGAAGCUAGAGCCCUUCUAAUCCAACUUAAAUGAAGGUUCUAAACCAAUCAAUUGAACUCCAAAAGCCCCAAAUCAAAAAUUUCCAAAUAAACCCUAGUUUUUCCAUUUCUAGGGUUUCAUCUCAAAAUCCACAAAAAACUUGAUCUAAAGAGAAGAUCUAAGGUACUAACCUCUUCACAAGCUCCAAACCAAGCUUGAAUGGUGCUGAGGUCGAAGAUCCUUCUUCUAACAAGCUCCAAACACCAAUCCCAAGCUUCUCCAAUUGUGGAAAACCAACAUGAAGCAAAAAAAAGCAAAGAGAGGAAAUCAAAUCAAGCAAAAAGGGAAGAAAAACUAAGGAAAAAUACAGAGGAGCUCACCUCUCCCUCCUCUGGUCGAAGCACAAAAGCCCCUGUCUAAGGGGUGAGGGUGCAUAUAAGGUAUUGUGACAAUAACAAAAAGAACCCUAAAACUGCCAAACUGCAGUCUGCACUGCAUGCCGGUACAUGGAAAAGAGUACCGGUACCAAGCCACAGUGUGCGCAAAUUCGAGCCUCGGGUUGGCAAGAAAAUACACAGGGUACCGGUACCAACUUGAUGUAGUACCGGUACCAGCUCCAGUUCCGGUACCAAUUCAAUGCAGUACCGGUAGUCAGCCUUGCAGAGGCAAACUCGAGAGCAGCCCAAUUUCCUGCACUUUAGAGGUUUGGUGCUAAGUUUUCACCCUCGCUCCUCGGGAUGCGAGUCAUAGGUCGGAACACCAUCUACGACCCUCCAGAAUACUUGAAAAAACUCAGAACACGGAUCAAACACUCGAACCUUGCAAUUUGCUAAAGUUCAGUGUGUUAUAGCAUAUUUGCUAAACUAGUAAAUAUGUAAGGCUAUAGAAUCAGAUAGAAACUAGCAAAAAGAUGAUUAACAAUUUUUCACUAAAUUCAAAUAAUCAAAAAACGAGGCUAAGAAAUUGAAUUUCAAUUAGAAUCAAACUUAAUUCUAACAUCUUUAAACUAAAACUUACUACAAAACACAAGAGAAAUUCGGUUCGCAGAAUACCAUAAGUAACAAAAACGGAUAUGAAGAAAUAACGAAACAAAAAUAGAUAGCAAACGAUCAUCUACGUAGUCCAAAGAUUCACAUUCGAAAAUACUAGAUAUAGAAACAAAAGAGACUAAAAUCAAACACUAACUAUUUAACAUUCACUUGGUCUCAGCCCCGCCUGACAAAUUAGUCUUGGUAUCUGGGUAAGCAACCAUACACCACAUUAGUCGGAUGAAGCAUACAAUACAAAUAAAUAAAUGAAUACAAAGAAUUAAUUCAAGCGACUAGUUUUUAAUUUGCAAAAUUUCAUAAAACAAGAAUUAUCAAAACUUAAAAAGAAGAUCAUAUUGAAACUGUAAAUUUACAAAGCAUUUCUCUUUCAGCAAAUAAACGAAAUAAAUAUUAAGUCUCCGGCAACUAACUAUAUUGUGUGAUCUAUUGGCGAGAUCCAGAGGCACCCGAAGGCGCAAACAAAACAGAGGCGCGGAUAGGCGCAGGCACCCGAAGGCGCAAACAGAAAAGAGGCGCGGAUAAGCGCAGGCACCCAAAGGCGCAAUACAAAAACGAAGCUAGCUUGUAUAACAGAAUACAUGUCGACAUGGCCAACAUUUCAUAGCAGAAUACCAAGAGACAUCAUAAUUCAAAAUUUAUCCAGUCACUAAUUUACAGAACAAAUUAUUAAAUUUCAAAAAUUCUUUUUGCUAAAAAAUUUGUUAAUCACAAUUGAAGCUCAAUUUACAGAAAUAUUUAAUAAUAUGUUUAACCCUUAAUUUUAAAAUCUACAAAAUAAGACUUUCACACAAUCAAAAUAUUUUUCUAAAUUAUUUUACGAAAAACUAACGGGUAUCUGAUCGCUUACCUUAAAGUAGUUUCGUAGCUAAAAAAACUAACUGGUCGACAAUCGCACAAAAAAUCAAUAAUCGGAAUAGAGAAAUAAAAUUCUCUAUUAGCUACUGAAAAUAAAAUUACAAAGAGGACAUAUAUAUAGAAGACAAGCAAAUACAAAAAUUUAAAUUCGAAAAAGCUCAUAUAGGUUGACAAGAUUGAUUACAAUUGCAUACAAAUAGAUCAGGAUGGAGCACGAAAGAGAUUUAGAAUAAUGAACUCUAAGAAGCUAAAUUAACAAUCAAGAGAAUGAAGAGUUUCGAAGAUUAAACUAUUCAAUAAACACGAUAAUAUGAAUGAAGUUUUAAAUAAUAAAUGAAAGAUCUAAUGCUCGAAAAAGAGGGUUUUCAGAUGUUGAAACAUUAAUUGAUAAUUUACAACUAGAUAGGAUCGAAAUUAGAAACAAAAACAAAGUUUGCCCCCUCUAAGGCAUUUUGUCGAACAGGUAACAAGCAUUCCAAAAUAUGUAGAAUAUGUGAAGUUUACGUAACUAGAUCAUAUAGAAAAUACAAGACAUGAAAUUAAACGGUUCAAACGAUAAAAAUUAGAUACAAGCAAAUUAGAUUUUGAAGGUGUAGUAUUCCUUAUGUUUGGCUGCCAGUGAGAUUUCAGCAUCUGAGAUUUGUCGACACAUCUAGAGAGUGUCAGGACAAGUCGGAAUCGUUUUGGCGUGAAAUGGACGCAAAACGGACUCAACGCGAGGCGAGAGUGGAGUUCUGACUCUAAAAUUCGCAAAGUGCAGGAUUUCAGUAUUGAGUACCGGUACUAUUUAGGGGAGUACCGGUACCCCAGUGUAUGGUCAGAACUGAUGCUCUCGGGUUGUGCCAAUUUGAUGCUGAGUACCGGUACGGCAUCGGGCUGGUACCGGUACCCUGUGUGGGAGCUUACGGGCUGAGAGGCCGAGUACCGGUAACCAAAUCGGGUACCAGUACUCCAGCUGGUUUGUUGAGUUGGUAGGGGGUAGUAGUGUCUUUUUGGUUGGUGGUUAUCCACACCACCUACUCCCCCUUAUAUCUAUCCACCUGAGAGAGGAUAAUUAUUACAUUUCCUCUCUCUUUAGAUUUUGAUCUUAAGCUUGGUGGAGGUCGUGGCUUGAGCUCGGAAGUCGUCGCCAUUGCACUGGAGGGUCGUUCGUGCACGUGGGCAUCACGGUUGCAUCGUUGGGAGGCCGGGUGAGCGUGGUUUUCCUCCUGUCGACUUCUCGCCGUGGUUAGACGGGUUUUUCGAGGUGGGUUGAAGUAUACCGAAAGCGUCGGAAUUCCUUCUAAGUUUUAUCAACGUCAACAUGUGUUUCUUGGUUCAUUGGUUUAUCCCGCUAGUACUCGAAUUCAUGGAAAUUAUAGGUUAUGCUAUAAAAUCUGAAUAUGGAGUUAAGCUAGUUACUUUGUUUAUGCAUGUUGGACCUGGAAUUGACUUAGGAGAAAACUAUAGAUACUACACUGUCAUUUUCUGAAAAUUACCAGAUUUAGUUUUAGAAGCUGUGGUUUAUUUGUAUCGCCAUUGUUCGUACGCGGUAGAUACCCAGAUUAGUGUAGGGUGAGUUUACACUUGUGCUCAGAUGCCGAGCUGUGUAGACUGUUCAGGAUUGUUGGGUGCUGUCGCAGUUGACAGUGGACCCAGAUUUCUGUAUUUGCAUCAGAUUGUGCCGGGGGCACGUGAGCUUUGGUUGUUAGACCAGCUAAACCCUUUUUCUUUGAUUGUAGCCUGCAAGAGCCUGAUGAUCUCGACAGAGAUACGCUUGCAUACUCGGUUGGGUAGCGUCCACGAGUGCCACUCUGGAGUCAGGCUUUAUGCGUUCGCGUUGAUGUCGUAGUGUUCGAGUUGGACUUACUCUCCACCAACAACCUAGCGUGGUGAUGGUUGGUGUAGCUUUGACAUGCGGGACGGGUGCGUUUAUAGUCCCUAGUGAGAUUAGGUCAGAGAUUGCAUCUUGCUUAUAUCUACAGAUAGCUAGUGUUGGUUAGCGAUAGUAUAGUGGCAUAUAGCUGUAGAAUGUUACCAGCUUCCUAUACUAUCCUUGAGGAUAAUUUUUGUACACCUUAGUGGGGGAGCCGUUGAGAUCGAUAGUAGUAUCCACUAAGGACUACUCCUUUUUGUAGUAGUUCUCACACCCAGUUGUGGAACCAUUUUUACAGAGCCUUUAUCUGCGGCUGCUAUUGUAACAGAUUUUGAUCGUGAAAAGGGAGUCGCAAGUUAGAUCCCUUCCAGCUUUGCUGCAGUACUAGAGAAGUACCUUCCACAGGUAGUUUUGGGGCUUUUUGUACAUAUGGACUUGUUGUCUGGGUACUCGCUGGAGCGAGUGGUGUAGCAGACAUUUUGUAUGUACUGGAACCUCUCGAGAUUUUUAUAUAUGCUAUUUUCAGUUUAGCAACUCUUACCUUGUGGUUGUAGCUUGUUUUCGUUUACAAGGACAACUAUCGCUUCGUAUACAGGAAAAAUUUCUAUGUAUACGGCGGGUCUGUUGGCGUGCCCGAAAAAACGUGUAAUCCGGGGUGUGACAGAUUAAGUUGGUAUCAGAGCUUAGUAUUAGAUCGUUGGGACCUAGGAAACCUUAAAUUUGGCAAACUUUAGAAAGGCAAGACGUGAGGGCGUGAUUUAUCGCCAAAGUCAACGAUUGAAUGGUUUUAACUCCUUCUAGAGUGGAGUGAGUGACUAAAGGAGUGUCUGUUUCGGCCAAGAAAAUUAUGUCGGCUGCAGACGACAUAAUUUUAAGGAGAAACAGGGGCAGCCUUCUAGACUUUCACUUGAUUGGGUCGAGUGUUGAUUGGGUGCUUUGUAUCUGACUUUUGUUUUGGUUUCAGGUGACCAUGAGACCUUAUCGACGCCGAGGUCGACCGUUGACACGGGGUCCACGGGGACCACGCCGCCGGGGAUGCCAGAGCAGGUGGGACCGACUGCACCGGCAGAUUUGAGAGAGCAGGUGGCUGCCUUGACUGAGGUGAUCACGCAGCAGGGUGUGCUUUUGCAGAGGAUGUGUGAGACUGUCGUUCAGCGGUCGGGUGUUGAUUCAAGAGUAUCCGUGCAACAGGCACCCUGGGUGGAGCGAGAAGUUAUAGCAGCCCAGGAGCGAGCAACAGUACCGGGGCAGAGGCAGGAUAGGAAGCGCCCAAUUUUCGAUGAUGGAGGGCAAUCGAGCAGCAGGCUUCCGCCGAGGCCUUCAUGAUCACGCUUUCAAGGUCGUCAAGGCCUUCAGGAUCACGCUUUCAAGGUCGUGGGUCUUCAAGGCGUCAGCGUUCUGGAGGACCUCGUUAGUAGAGGCAGUUGCAGGGGACUCGACAGUGUGUGAUUUGUGGGGGACCGCACUGGCCCCGGUCUUGUGCAUAGAAGGAGGGCCGGUGUUAUAGAUGUGGACAGCCAGGGCAUCUACAGGCAGCUUGUCCUGAAGCGGCAUCGCCAGCACCUUUGAUAGCGCCGACCCCACCGAUACCACAGCAAACUUUUGGAGCAUCGUCGAGCUAUAGUCCAGCGAAUACAGUUGCAAUGCCGCCGCAGAGGGAGCAGCGACAGCAGUAUCAAGUGGCAGCGUAUCUGAGGCUCAUAUUGAGGAUGCCACGACUGCAGACCGCGUGGUGACAGGUAUUAUUUUAAUUUCUGAUAUUUGAGUUCGUGCAUUAUUUGAUACCUAUGCAUCACAUUCUCUUGUUAGUUGAACAUUUGCAUCUUUGCAUGGACUAGAGAUAGGGCCGUUGUUGCAUGCAUGAGAGGUGCAAAUUUUCGACCAUAUUUUGCAGGUAGUAGAGUGUUGUUCGUCAUGUCCAGUGCAGCUGGGCUCGUGGAUUAUAUCGCAGACCUAUUGAUCUUAGGGCAGCUGCAGGGCUUUGAUGUUGUGCUUGGCAUGGAUUGGCUGGCGCGGUAUUAUACGACCAUCGACUGUGGAGCGAGGACAGUGACGUUCCGCGAGUCAGACCAGGAGGAGUUCAUGUACAGGGGUUGUAGGAGUAGGUUGUUUGCCAUUUGGAUUUCGUCAAGGAGGGCUCGACAGCUGAUGAGUAGAGGAUACAUCACUUUCUUGGUGACUGUAGUAGAGGUGCCUACGGCGGCGCCGGGACUCGAGGAUAUCUCUAUAGUCUGCGAAUUUUCGGAUGUUUUUCCAUGGAGUUGACAACUAUGACGCCGGAUAGAGAGAUUGAGUUUGUGAUUGACGUAGUUCCUGGAACUGCGCCAAUCUUGAAGGCACCCUACCGAAUGGCACCGACAGAGCUGAGAGAGCUGAAGGCGCAGCUUCAGGAUUUGAUAGAUAAAGGGUAUGUGAGACCUAGUGUAUCGCUUUGGGGAGCGCCAGUGUUGUUCGUCAAGAAGAAUGAUGGUUCACUUAGGUUGUGUGUGGAUUACCGGGAGCUGAAUAAAGUGAUCAUCAAGAGCAAGUAUUCUUUGCCGCGCAUUGAUAUUCUGUUCGAUCAUCUGCAAGGAUCUUGUGUCUUUUUGAAGAUUGAUCUCUAGUCAGGUUACCACCAGUUGAGGGUGAAGGCCGAGAAUGUUCCCAAGACGGUUGUUCGAACUUGGUACGGGCAUUCUGAGUUCACUGGGAUGCCUUUUGGAUUGACAAAUGCUCUUGUCGCAUUUAUGGAUUUGAUGAACAGAGCGUUUAAGCCAUUAUUGGAUAGAUUUUGGUUGAGUUUGAUGCAACAUAGAAGGGUAAUUGCUUAUACUUCCUGACAAUUGAAGGAUUAUGAGAAGAAUUACCCUACGCAUGACUUGGAGCUUGCUGCAGUAAUUUUUGCCUUGAAGUUAUGGCGUCAUUACUUGUAUGGCGAGCAUUGCGAGAUUUUUACUGAUCACAAAAGUCUUAAGUAUCUGUUCACCCAAAAGGAGUUGAACUUGAGGCAGCGUCCGUGGUUGGAGUUAUUGAAGGAUUAUGAUGUUAGUAUUCAGUAUCACCUCGGCAAGGCGAAUGUGGUGGCAGAUGCAUUGAGCAGGAAGUCAGUCCAAAGCUUGAGCAUGAUGAUUACUCAGCAGAGGCCGUUAUUUGAGGAGUUGCAGCGGUUGAGGCUAGAGGUAGUGUCCCCUGGGUCUACUGCGAGACUGAUGUUUAUGGUCUUGCAGCUCACUCUGUUGGACAGGAUCAGGGAGAAACAGAGUGGAGACUCUCACUUGUUGAGGAUUUGAGAGUAGUUUGAGAGCGGACAUGCGGAGGCCUUUUCUGUGGACAGUUCGAGAGUACUGCGGUACAGGGACCGAUUGUGUGUGCCUAUGGAUUCUGAGAUCUAUGAGAAAAUUUUGAGAGAGACUCAUUACUCACUUUAUACGGUUCACCUUGAUGGAACCAAUAUGUAUAAAGACUUGAAGGCACACUUUUGGUGGAAUGAAAUGAAGCGGGACAUUAGUAGACAUGUGGCUAAGUGUCUGUGUAAGGAAGUGAAUUCUCGAAAUUCGAGAGUUGGACUUCGUCCAGAAUCAACUAAUUGUCGAGUGGGUAGGCUUCGGAAAAGCCCAAGGUGUCCAAAAUACAAAAAGUGCAUUGGAGUUGGAUCCGCGAGAGUAAACAAUGCAAAAUCUGCACUUGGCAGAUUCUGCUCUCAGGGACCGGUCCCUAGAGGGAGAGACCGGUCCCCGUAAGCUGAAAGCGUGGCAGAAGACUCUGCGCGCGAUAUUUGCUCUCGGGGUCCGGUCCCUCGGGUGAGGAUCGGUCCCUGAAGGUCCGGUCUCUCAGUCGAGGAUCGGUCCCCGUGCGCGCAACCUGCGAAAAGGAGAAAAAUUUGGCUAAGUCCUGAGAUUUCAGCUCUCGAGGACCAGUCCCUGGCGGGACAGACCGGUCCCCGUACGCGUAAUGGCUGGCAUACAGCCUCCGCUCGCAAAAGCUGCUCUCGGGGACCGGUCCUUCUAGGGACAGAUCGGUCCCGAGCGCGAAAACUGCCCAGGCAGAGCAGUUUGAGAGAGGCAAAGUGGAAGGGUUUGGAUGCAAUUGUUACAUUAGUUCAGGGGUAUAGGAAGGAUUACACUCUCUCUCCCUCAUUUCCCCACCCAACACACACACUCCUCUCUCUCUCUAAGCUCUCUCUUCUCUCUUGAAGCAAAGAAGAAGGAAAAGAAGGAGAGGAAGAAAAAGAAGGAGAAGAAAGUGAAGAAGAAGGUGAAGCAAGUAAGCUCUCUCUCCUCUCUAAGCUCUCUCUCCCUCACUAUAUGACGCAUGCAUACAUUACUGAUGAUUGGGCAUAGUAGCAUAGUUUUCCUACUAUUGCAUUUAUAGUUUUUCAUAACUAUCUAUCUAUCUACUUUUGCCCACUCGGACCUAGUGGAAAAAUUGGCGAAGUCAGCGGCCGAACCCACUGGAAACUAUGGACGAUAGUUCUCACCCCACUUUGUUACAGGGCCUAGUACGAGCACGCUGGGUGAGGACCGCGUCAAGGACAUAUCGCCCGAGUAGUAGUACAUAGUAGCUUCCUAUUUUGCAUUAGCACACCUAUGUACAUGAGAGACUUUUGUAGGUGAGGAUUUGGAGAGCUAUUGAUGUAUAUAUUUGAUGGUCCUUAGAGAACCACAUAUCCAUUUUGAGAAGAUGAAAGUGUAAUUGAAUGCAAAUGAUGUAAUAGUUAGUAAAACUCUCUUUAUUUCACUUGUGUAUGCUUGUGAAUUUUUGCUCUUAGUAUGUUGGCACUGUUUGUGCCCUUGUGGUCGUGUAUGUAUGAAUUUCUAUUUUCUGGGCAAAUUCUUAUACAUGAUCGGGUUGUUGGCCUAGGACGGACAGGGGAGGUGCUGUCCGUUCGGCGUCUGUUCGACGCACUCGAGUCGUGCCAAAUUGAUAGCGGUCUCGGGGCGUGACAGAUAUAAAUGGUAUCAGAGCAAGCUAAGAGUAAGUAAAGAGAGAGUCUAGGAUUGACCUAGGAGACCUUAGGAAGGUAAACCCUAAGGAUAUAGGUGCGUGAGUGGAACGUGAACCUAUAAUGGUGGCGGAAGUGAUUCGAUUGGGUCGAAGUUGGCGAUAUGUCUCUAGUAGUUGCUAGAGAUGAAUUCAAGUGGUAUUAGUUCUUGACUUGAGGUGAUUGUGUCGGCGGCCGACGACAUGAUGCCGAGAGCCUAGAAUGAGUACACUCGUAUGCUUUCGCCCGAUUUCGUUGUUGAUCGUUUGAGUCGUAGUCGCCGUAAUGUUGACGGGUUAAGAUAAUUAACCAAGUGCUUGCGUUUCAGGAGCUAAUGGCCCCGAAGAGACGCUACACGCGUAGAUCGGCUCCGGCACCGCCUCCCGAGAUGCCUGGGCAAGUUGAACCUCCACGAGCCCCAGAGUCUCCUGUGGUGCUUGCACAAGCCGGGCCGAGUGAGAUGCAGGAGUUGCGGGCGCAAGUGACCGCACUUGCGGGUCAAUUUGGGCUGCUCCGAGAGUUGAUAGAGCGGUAGUUAGCAGCGACGACUGCGAUGGCGACAGACGGUCGUGUUCCACCCGCACCCUCGGCGCAUGAGCACGUAGCGGCUGAGGGUGAGGGUAUAGUGGCGAUUCCGGUGGCGGCGCAUCCCUCGUCGAUGGUCGUUCCUCCUGCGGCGUCAGGAUAAGCGACACCCGAUGCGGCGGCCGAGGAAGCGGAGAAGGAGCGCGCAUUGGCGGCUCUAAUCAAGUUUAACAAGUUUCAUCCGCCCAUCUUCGAGGUGGAGAAAGUGGAGCCGGCGAUGGUCGAGUCGUUGGUCGACUCGAUGAAGAUGCUCUUCGAGGACCUCUCCACCUUUGAGAGGGACAAGGUGUACCUCGCCACACAUUGUUUGGAGAAGACGGCGAAGGUGUGGUGGAAGAGAGUGAAGCGAGAUAGGCCUUCGGAACUUCCACCGAUUGUAAGGGAAGUGAAUUCUUGAAAUCCGAGGAUUUGACUUCGUUUAGAAUCGACUGAUUGUCGAGUACGUAGGCUUCGGAAAGUCCGAAGAUGAUUAAAAUGCAUAAAGUACAUUAAGGAAGAGUCCGCGAGAGCAGCAGUGCAAAUUCUGCACUGGAACAGAAUUGCUCUCGGGGACCGGUCCCUGGCAGGGAGGGACCGGUCCCUGGCAGGGAGGGACCGGUCCCCUCGGCUGGGCUGGCGGGGAUCCUUAAGGCAACCGGUCUCUGGUAGGGAGGGACCGGUCCCUCCUUGCCAGAGACCGGUCCCCGAACGUUAACCCAGCGAGAAGAGGCUGAAAUUUGGCUAAGUCCCGAAAAUACCACUCUCGAAAACCGGUCUCUCAGGCAAGGACCGGUCUCCCGGGGACCGGUCUCUCAAGCAGGGACCGGUUCCCGAACGCGAAAUUUUCUCUGCCCGAGAGGGAGGCUCUUGGGGACCGGUCUCCCCGACCUGGGACCGGUCCCUCACUGCGAAGAUGCUUAGUGAGGGCUGCUUCAGAGGAUGAAAAGUUGAGGGGGCUAUCUGCAAAAUAGCCUUUAUGAGGGCUGGGGACCCCUCUCUCUCUCCCAUUUGUCUCAUUUGCCCUCUCUUUCUCUCCCUCUCUCUCUCUAGAAUGAAAGGAAAAGAAGAAGAGAAGAAGGAGAAGAAGAGAAAGAAGAAGAGGAGAAAGAAGAAGGAGAAGACCAAGAAGAGGAAGAAGAUCAUCUUCUUCCUUCUCUCCCUCAAGCUAGGGCAAGCUUGGAUCUUGGUAUUGAGGUAAGCCUCAACCCUUCAAUGGUGGAUUUUGGGAGCUAGGGUUUUGUUGCUUAAAAAUGGUUCGAAUGGAACCUAUUGAAGCUAAGGAGAUGGUUCGAGCUCGAAUUUGAGGCUUGCACCAUGGAUUUCCCCAUUGUUGCUAACCCAGGGCACGGAUUUGGGAUUUUUGGAAAUCUAGGGUUUUGAUCUCGUUUAACGGGUCGCAAACCUAAUUACUAGGUCUAUAAACGCGUCGGCGAAGACGGUUCGUCGAUCCGACGAGCGAGUGCGAAGAUAUCGCCGAAACAAGUGCUUGAGGGUUCGUUUUGUCCGAGGAGUCGAGGCAACGACAUAAGAUCGCGACGACGAGCUUGCUAGUUACGCGGCGCUACUAAAGGUGGGGGAGUGCCAUCCCGAAGUAGUUGAAUUGCUCCCUAUGUCUGAGUUAUUAUGUUGAUCAAUUGCAUAUUGAACAUAUGGCAUAUAAGGAACUAAGUUAUUAAUAUCUAUUUUUGCAUGCUAGUGUUAAUGUGGCUCAGUUGAUAUAGCACUAGAACCUAGUGUGCUCGAGGUAGUAUGAUACAGUUUAACCCUAUAGGUGUUGGAUGUACAUGUAGCAAUGAAAACCUAGUACAAUGUAGACUAGGGUAUUGAGAACUUGUCAAGAGAACGAGUGGCACCUAGUUAACAAUGAACACAAACGAGUGGCAUGUAGUUAACAUUGAACAUGAGAACCCUAGUGUAGUCAAAAUACUAUGAGCUUGGGUAUUAGGAUACUUGAUUCUGUGAUGAGACCAACCUUAGUUGGUAGGACUAGUUCGUGAGUUCAGAUUAAGCUCACAUAGCCUGUCUGCGCUUGUAGGGGUCGCUCCCCACAGGUUGUGCACUCCGGAGUAUUUGUCACUCGAGGGGCAGUCGCCAUGCGCUGCCCGGACAGUCAGUGAAUCUGUCUGCAGGCUGUCUCAGGGAAUAGUUCAGCGAGGCUUUUCCCUACGAGGCUUAUAAACGUGAGAUUGAAAAUGAGAUACCGGAUUGAUCGAAUGAUCGGGUAAAGUAAUGAACAACCCUUAUUGUUGGGCAUAGUAGUAUGGUAGCUAUGAAUUUCACUAUGAAUGACAUGCAUGCAUAAUUCUAGAUUGAGGCAUAGUUAGAUGCUUAUACUUAUACUUGCUCAUUUCUCGUUAAUGCUUUCAAUUACAUAUAUCUAUCUACCUGCAUAUCUAUCUGUGCCUGCUUAGACCUAGUGGGAAGAUCGGCAGAGUCGGCGGCCGAACCCACUGGGAACUAUUCGUAGUUCUCAUCCCACUUUGUUGCAGGUCCGAGUUCGAGUAGCCCUGGUGAGGAUCGCGGCAAGGGCGUAGCGCCCUAGGGGUAUUAGUAGAGGUUUACUUUCCUUUAUGCAUUAGUUACACCCUAUACUUAUGUUGACAGUAGAUGUUGUAUAGGGUGAGAUUUUGAGAGUGAUUGUACAUAUCUGUUUUGGAAGACUGUAAAAGAUGAAUUAAAUGUAUUAAGUUGAAUGAAUUUAAUAGUUAAGUAUAUCUCUCUUUUAUCACUUGUAUGCUUUACUCGUGUUGCUUGCUCUCGGUUGGUAUGCACUGUUUGUGCUUCAUUACUGUUAUUUGAUCAUGUAUGUAAUCAAGUGUAUUUUCUGGGAGCUUGUGUACAUGAUCUCGUCGUUUGAGCCUUGGGCGGACAGGGGAGUUACUGUUCGUUCGGCGGUCCAUUCGCCGCGCCCGAACCGGACCAAAUUGGUAGCGGGCUUGGGGCGGUGGCGUGACACCGAUACUGUAGGAAGAGUUCAAGAGGGCGAUGUUCGCCAACUACUUCCCCGAUACUCAGAAGCGGAAGCUGCAAGAGAAGUUCCGCAAGUUACGAUAGGUGGACCGCACUGUGGCGAACUAUGAGUAAGAGUUUUCCCACAUAAUUGACUGUGUCCCUGAUAUGGUGAAGGAUGACAGGGAUAGAGCCGACUAGUUCUUAAGGGGACUUCGGCCGGGAAUCCACAAGGCCGUACAGAUAUUCAAGCUCGCGACCUUUGCGGAGGUAUUCGAUCGGGCGCUGUGGGCAGAGCACGGAGAUGCCCAUGUGCGCGAGGAGCGUGAGCUUUUGGCCGAGUCCAAGGAUAAAGGCAAAAAACGACAAGGUGGUGGUUCGGGGGGACAGACGAGUUCCAAGAAGCCCCCGAAGUAUCCGCGGACUCAGUACAUGGGCCGUGGAGUGCGGCGGUGUGUCAUUUGCGGUGGAGACCACCAACCUUCGUGUUGCGAUCAGCGCCAAGGCAAGUGCUUCAAAUGCGGGCAACCAGGGCACUUCAUACGUGAUUGCUCGGGAGGUGGAGCCUCGCCUGCCCUAUCUAUUGCAUCGGGGCCGGUGAUUCCAGCUCAUUAUGGAGGAGCUCCACCGACGGCUGCGUCGGCGGGACGCGUGAUGGCGCCGCGUCAGUUAGAGGCGACGCGAUCGACACCGAGCGGGCGGGUGUUCGCCGCUCAAGCUCAAGUGGAGGAACCUGCCGAGCCAGAAGAGCGCCAUGUGGUGGCAGGUAUGGUUUUAAUUAGCGGAGUCCGCUCCCGAGCUAUGUUUGAUACUGGUGCUACCCAUUCAUUCAUAAGUAGGCCGUUUGCACAAAUGCAUGGUAUCGAGUUUCAAUUUAGUAAGAGCACUUGACGUGUGUUUGGGCCUGGGCGGGACUUUCUGAUCCGCAAGAAGUGUUUGACGUGCCCAGUACAAAUAGGCGAUUGGAUAAUGCUGAUUUGCAUGUUGGUGCUCCAGAAGCUGAAAGAGUACAAUGUCAUAUUGGGCAUGGAUUGGCUCUCGAAGUACCAUGUAACGAUUGACUGUAAGAGCAAGGUGCUUACCUUUCAUGAGCCCGGACAAGAGGAGUUCACGUAUCGGGCUUGUCGAAGCUCGUGCUUCGUCGUGACGGUGUCAGCGACGAGAGCGAGGAAGUUGGUUAAUAGCGGUUGCACAGCCUAUUUAGCGACCGUUGUGGAGGUGGACCGAGUGGCUCCGACCUUAGAGGAGUUGUCGGUAGUACGGGAGUUCCCAGAUAUAUUUCCCGCGGAGUUGCCGGGGAUACAGCCGGAUCGGAAGAUCGAGUUUGUUAUAGACUUGAUUCCCGAUACCGCGCCGAUCUCGAAGGCCCCGUAUAGAAUGGCGCCGGCGGAACUAAGGGAGUUGAGGAAUCAAUUGCAUGACCUCCUCGACAAGCAAUUUAUCCGGCCGAGCGUAUCACCGUGAGGAGCCCCCGUGUUGUUUGUGCGGAAGAAGGACGGAUCGCUGCGACUCUGUGUGGAUUAUUGUGAAUUAAACAGAGUCACGAUCAAGAAUAAGUAUCCAGUUUCCCGAAUCGACAACUUAUUUGAUCAGUUGCAGGGGUCGUGCGUGUAUUCAAAGAUAGACUUGUAAUCCGGUUAUCACCAGUUGAAGAUCAAGUCGGAAGACAUUAAGAAAACCACAUUCCGUACGCGGUAUGGACACUAUGAAUUCACGGUCAUGCCUUUUGGGCUUACGAAUGCCCCUGCGGCGUUCAUGGAUCUGAUGAACCGUGUCUUCAAGGAGUUUUUGGACCGAUUUGUCGUGGUCUUCAUAGACGGCAUAUUGGUCUAUUCUCGCAAUGACGAGGAGCAUGCCGAGCAUUUGAGAUUAGUGCUUCAAGUCCUUUGGGAGAAGAAGCUAUAUGCUAAGCUAAAGAAGUGUGACUUUUGGCUUCGAGAAGUCGCAUUUCUAGGACAUGUGAUUUCCGAGGGUGGAGUCUCUGUAGACCCGAGGCAAUCAAGGAUUGGCCACGCCUAACCAAUGUCACGGAGGUUCGAAGCUUCGUGGGCUUGGCGGGCUAUUAUAGACGGUUUGUGGAGUGCUUUUCGAAGAUAGUAAUUCCACUUACCCGUCUGACUAGAAAGGGCACCAAGUUCGUUUGGAGUUACGAGUGUGACCGGAGUUUCAAAGAGUUGAAGGAGAGAUUAAUUUCGACUCCGGUACUCGCCCUACCGGUGCAAGGUAAAGAUUAUGUGGUCUAUAGCGACGCAUCCUAUCUGGGUUUGGAGUGUGUCUUGAUAUAGGGCGGGAAGGUAAUCACGUAUGCGUCCCGUCAGCUAAAGAGCUAUGAAAAGAACUACCCCAUUUAUGACUUAGAGCUGGCGGCGGUGAUCUUUGCUUUAAAGCUAUGGAGGCACUAUUUAUAUGGUGCACAUUGCGAGAUCUACACCGACCAUAAAAACUUAAAAUAUUUGUUUACCCAGAAGGAGCUGAAUAUGCGGCAUCGGCGGUGGUUGGAACUGCUAAAGGAUUAUGAUGUUGACAUCUUUUACCACCCCGGCAAGGCGAACGUAGUCGCUGAUGCGCUUAGUAGAAAGUCGACAGAGAACCUCGCAGUGUGGGUUACAAAUCAAACGCCCGGAAAGAAAUAGGGCGAAUGGAUCUCGAGGUUGUAGCUCCGGAGGUUCCGACUAAGUUGUCAAUGCUUGUUGUCCAACUGACCUUAUUGGAGAGGAUCAAGAGUUUGCAACCUGCGGACCCGAGUCUCCAAAAGGUGCGGUGCAACGUCAAGGAGGGACGUGGCGGAGAUUUCAGUAUAGACGCCGGUGGUGCACUUCCGUUUCGAAACAGGUGGUGUGUACCUGAGAACGAGGAGCUUCGCAAGCUAAUUCUGCAAGAAGCACAUUAGUCUCCUUAUAGUCUUCACCCGGGUGGCACCAAGAUGUACCAUAACCUAAAGAUGUAGUAUUAGUUGCCGGGAAUGAAGGCUGAUAUUGGGCGCUUUGUGGCGAAGUGCUUAAUAUGCCAGCAAGUGAAAGCGGAACACUGAUUUCCAGCGGAAAAGCUUUAAAGUUUAUAUAUCCCCGUUUGAAAAUGGGAAGAUGUGUCGAUGGACUUCGUGGUCGGUUUGCCUCGCUCAACGGGGGGCCACGAUGCAAUUUAGGUGGUUGUGGAUUAAUUGACGAAGUCGGCACAUUUCCUACCGAUUCACACCACUUGGGCAGGUGACAAGCUGGCGCAGGUAUACCUUGAUGAGAUUGUGAGAUUGCACGGGGUACCGAAGUCAAUUGUGUCGGUUCGAGACCCCGGUUCACUUCGCAUUUCUGGAAGAGCCUGCAAGAAGCACUUGGCACACGGCUGGAUUUUAGUACCGCAUUUCAUCCUCAGACAGAUGGGCAAAUCGAGAGGACUAUUAGACUCUGGAGGAUAUGUUGCAGGCGUGUGUCAUUGAUUACAAGGAAAGUUGGUGUAAGCACCUACCGAUGGCCGAGUUCGCCUACAACAACAAUUAUCAUGCUAGCGUGGGGAUGACACCAUCUGAGGCUCUUUAUGGGCUGAAGUGCCGAUCUCCCAUUCACUGGAGCGAUGUGGGCGAACGAGCAGAAUUCAGCCCUAACGUUUUGCAGGAGGCGGAAGAGAAGGUCUGUCUUGCUCACAAAAGAUUACUCAUGGCGCAGUCUCGACAGAAGAGCUAUUCGGAUAAGCGCCGGCGGGACUUAGAAUUUACAGUGGGCGACCAAGUCUUUUUGAAGGUGUAGCCCAUGCGAGGUGUGAAGCGGUUCGGGGUGCGGGGGAAGUUGAGUCCCUGAUACAUUGGACCCUACAAGGUAUUGGAACGGAUUGGAACGGUGGCUUACCGGCUCGCGUUGCCGCCGAAGCUUGCGGAUGUGCAUAACAUAUUCCAUGUCUCCAAUCUUCGUAAGUAUAUUCACGACCCCGAUCAUGCCUUGUUGUACGAGCCGCCGGAACUUCAGGAAGAUAUGAGUUACAAGGAGUUUUCGAUGAUGAUCUUAGCUCGAGAGGUGCGAAAACUGAGAAAUUGCGAGAUUCCUUAUGUAAAGAUUCGGUGGAGCAAUCAUGAUGAUCGCGAGGCCACCUGGGAACUCGAGGAUCUGAUGAGAAAGCAUCAUCCUCACUUGUUUGAGGGAUAAGGUAUGAGUUUGAGUUUGAGUUGGAAAUUGGAUUAGUUUUGAGAACGAAACUCCUUUUUAGGAGGGGAGGAUGUAAGGAAGUGAAUUCUCGAAAUCCGAGAGUUGGACUUCGUCCAGAAUCGACUAAUUGUCGAGUGGGUAGGCUUCGGAAAAGCCGAAGGUGUCCAAAACACAAAAAGUGCAUUGGAGUUGGAUCCGCGAGAGUAAACAGUGCAAAAUCUACACUUGGCAGAUUCUACUCUCGGGGACCGGUCCCUAGAGGAAGAGACCGGUCCCUGUAAGCUGAAAGUAUGGCAGAAGACUCUGUGCGCGAUAUUUGCUCUCAGGGUCCGGUCCCUCGGGCGAGGACCGGUCCCUGAAGGUCCGGUCUCUCAGUCGAUGACCGAUCCCCGUACGCGCAACCUGCGAAAAGCAGGAAAAUUUGGCUAAAUCUGAGAGUCAGCUCUCGGGGACCGGUCCCUGGCGGGACAGACCAGUCCCCGUACGCGUAAUGGCUGGCAGACAGCCUCCGCUCGCAAAAGCUGCUCUCGGGGACCAGUCCCUCUAGUGACAGGCCGGUCCCCGAGUGCGAAAACUGCCCAGGUAGAGCAGUUUGAGAGAGGCAAAGUGGAGGGGUUUGAGUGCAAUUGUUACAUUAGUUGAGGGGUAUAGGAGGGAUUACACUCUCUCUCCCCCUCAUUUCCCCACCCAACACACACACUCCUUUCUCUCUCUAAGCUCUCUCUUUUCUCUUGAAGCAAAGAAGAAGAAGAAGAAGGAGAGGAAGAAAGGAAAGGAGAAGAAGGUGAAGAAGAAGGUGAAGCAAGCAAGGAGAAGGCCUUGGUCAUCUUCCUCUUUCUCCUCACACCAUUGGAGCUAGCUUAAAGGUAAGCUUUUGAGCUCAAUAAUGGUAGAAACCUAAGGUUUGGAUUUAAAGCUCUAGAAAUGGUUUGAUUAGUAUUCUAGCAUGCUUAAUAGAUACUCAAAGCUAGAAUCUAGGGAUUUAUUGGAGCUUUUGCAUAGAUGCAACCUAGGGCACCCAAAAUAGGGUUUUGCUGAAUAGAUGGGUUUGAUCUUAUUUGAUGACAACUAAACCUAAUUGCUAGGUGUCUAAACGCAUUGGCGAAGACGGAUUGAGCAUUCGUCAAGUCGUUAUAAAGAUGUCAGCAAAACAAGGCCGAGCAAGCUUCGUUUCCUUCUUGGAGGCGGAGAUUUCGUUGUAACGAGUGCCGAGUAGCAUUUUUAGGACCUCCACAUCGUCGAACGGUGGGUGGUGUCAUCUCGAAGCAACCGGGUUCCUCUCUAUGUCUUAGUACUUCAUGAUUUGCAUCUCUUGCAUGUUGCAUUAUAGGAUUGCAUGUUAUUCCUUUCCUUAUGCUUGCUAAUGAUAUCGAUGUAUGAGUUGAAUGCAUGAUGAUGGUUAGAUGAGGAUUGGGUUUUGACAUUUAAUUCUAUAGUGCCGAGAAAAGAGAUGAACUCGAUGAUUGUUAAAGACAUAAUGAGUGGCAUUGACUGUUAAAUAAAUAAGAACGAGUGGCAUAUAAUAUAGUGUACGGUGACACUAGUGACAUGCGAACUUAGGGAUAGGUGGAUUCCCUAGUGACGACUCGUUGAACAAAGGUCUAUAAGAUAUGGAUCCUGAGGAUCUAAAAGGUAAGUAACACCUAGAGGGGGGUGAAUAGGUGUAAAUACGGCAAACUCGAAAAUCUCGAUGCAAAUAAAAUAAAGUAGCGGAAAAUAAAACAGCACACCGAGAAUUUAACGUGGGAAAACUCCAAUUCGGAGUGAAAAACCCACGGGACCGAUCACGCGAAGAAAAUCCACUAAGAAAACUUGAGUACAAGUGAUUUUGACAAAAAUACACGACUCAAUUUACCGAUUUCUUGUUAAUGGUGAUCUUCGCCGGUCCUCGAUCGAUAGGAAUCCACCAAUCGACCUUGCUGUAACUCCUCGCAGCGUCAACGCCUCAACUCCUUGAAGUGUCCACCGAAUCCUCGGCUUCACGCGAGAUCCACGCGUCGAACCUCCUUCCGGAGCUUGUAGAAUCGAAGAUUUGUGAUGAUUUAACCUUUGAAUACCAUAAGCUAUGAGGGUUCACCUUUAAUCAAAAAUCUACUUGAUUCUCGUAUGAGUUCUCGAGUAAAAACGAAGAAUCAAGCCGAUUGUUGAUUGUUAGAAACUCGUUAUGUGAAUCGACGCAUUGAAACGAAAAAACAAGUUUCUAGGGUUUAGAAUCAGUAAAUAUUCAAAGCCUUAAACUUUUAGAUGACCCACAUAGCUUAUUUAUAUGUUUAGAAGACUUAGAAGUAGACUAGGAUUGCAAAAAGUCCUUUUUAAAAACCUGUGUCGUCCUCAGAGACCGGUCUUCUCGAGGAGACCGGUCUGUGAGAGACCGGUCUCUCAAGUGAGGAACCGGUCCCUCACUGCGUGACCAAAAUCACAACGUUCGGGAACCGGUCUCUCAAGCUUGAGACCGGUCCCUCGCUGUGCGACAGAAAUACCAAGGUUCGGGAACCGGUCUCUCAUCUCAGGGGACCGGUUGCAUCAAUGUUCAUGCAGUGAGAACCUUAGGGGAACCGGUCUCUUGACCUCAGGGACCGGUCCCUGAACACAGAAAAGUUCAGUAAAGUAUUUUUAAAGCAAUCUAAGCCUUCUGAACUUUUUCUAAACAAAUAUCUUCAUCACAAAUGAUCUUUUCUUCAUACCUUAGGUGCCGAACUUUACGAGUGAGUCUUUUUCCUUCAAUUUAGAUCUUUUCUUCAAUCUUCCGCAAUCAACUCUUCAAGACUCCAUUCAGCAUUACGAAAUCCGCCAACCUAUAAAAUCCUUAACAAGGUCAUAGUGUAGUCAAGUACUCACACAUGGACAUUGGGAUAGGUGGAUUCCCAAGUGACUUGUAACCCUAGAGUCGAUGGGGUAUCCUCGAGUUGAGAGGAUUGAUCAUACUCACAGUCUGUUCAUACUUGUGGUGGUCGCACCACCUAGGUCUUCGUGCACUCCGGAGUUUAGUGCGAGAGGGGUAGAGUUGAUGCCCUACAGGCGGCCUCGGGUUUGAGAGCAAGGUGUGUCUCCUUACCAUACGAGGUUUGAGGUGAGUCGUAGGCGAACCCAAGUGGAUCGCCAAGGAUUGAUUGAACAUAUUGUUAUUUGAACAUUUGCUUGUUGGACAUGGAUAGUGGACAUAGUAGCAUGUUAGUAAACCCUUUACUAUAUGACGCAGGCAUAUAUUACUGAUGAUUGGGCAUAAUAGCAUAGUUUUCCUACUAUUGCAUUUACAGUUUUUCAUAACUAUCUAUCUAUCUACUUUUGUCCACUCGGACCUAGUGAAAAAAUCGGCGGAGUCGGCGGCCGAACCCACUGGAAACUAUGGACAAUAGUUCUCACCCCACUUUGUUGCAGGGCCUAGUACGAGCACGCCGGGCGAGGACCGCGGCAAGGGCAUAGCGCCCGAGCAGUAGUACAUAGUAGCUUCCUAUUUUGCAUUAGCACACUUAUGGAUAUGAGAGACUUUUGUAGGUGAGGAUUUGGAGAGCUAUAGAUGUCACGCCCCGAGACCGAUACCAAUUUGGGCCGGCCCGAGCACGUCAAAAAGAUGCCGAACGGAUAGAGUUUUCCCUAUCCGCCCAAGGCUCAUCACCUGUACAAUUUCAACCAAGAAGUGCACUAGCGGAAACAUACAUAAACGGCUUACACGAGGGUAAGCAAUUGCCAUGAGUGAAAGAUAGGAAACUGAACAUCAUGAGUACUAUGAUUCACUUUAGAUCACAUUCAUUGCAUUUAACCUCAUAUUCAUGAUUCUUUACAUUGCUUUCAUCAUUUCUUCUACAUUACAUUUGCUCAAAUAAACUUUACAAUAUUUCCUUUCUUUGCUUUAAACAUCAACAUCUUAAAUCAUCAAAUACAAAAGAUGAUAAAAGGGUAAACCACUAACAAAAUGUAAACCCAUCUUUGGUGGCCUCUGACUAAGGUGCGAUACCUUUACCGCGGUCGCUCAGCGGCUCGCUCGGUCCCAGCUCUGUGGAAUAGUGGGGUGAGAACUACAAUAAAGUUUCCAGUGGGUUCGGCUCUAACCUCACCAACUUUCCCAUUAGGACUAACUCAGGCAUAAUAGAAAGGAUAAGCAGAAUAGUAACCAAAUUAUAAUCAUGAUGCUAAUAUGCCUAAACAAUAAAGCAAGAAAUAUGCUCAAUAUAAAUCAUGCAAAUAUGCAAGUUCUUUGUUCUUUACUCCUUAUUCUUUAAUCUUUACUCUUUGUUCACGUUCUUUAAUCUCAUGGCUAACCCGGGGGUUUCGCCACAUUAACUUGCCCACAUUAAGUCCAUCAUCGCGGCCCCUCACCUGCCUUCCGCUAAGACCGUCCUCGGGUUUACUGCAACCCGUGAUGCAUAACUCCGGAGCGCAUCGCCCGAGGGGGAGCGACCGCCCUCGAGCACGGAACUCAUAGCAAGUAUGAUCGAUCCUUAACUCUAAGGAUAUAUAGUUCAAUCACUGUCUUUACACUAACUCUAGUGUUCUUUACAUCACUUUAUUUUGCUAAUUCUAGCAAUCAUUGUUCUUUAACUUUACUCAUUCUUUAUGCCACACUUUGCAUUAACUUUAACCAUUGUCAUUGUUCUUUUGGUUCUUUGAUGCCACACACUAACUCUAGUGUCGACUGUAUACUUUCGAAUGCCACUCGUUCUAUGCUCUUGUGUCACUUUAUUCUUUUAUCUCAUUAGGUUCUCACAUUACCUCUCAUGCAUAUAUAGGGUGUUAUAGGUUCUCAACCAACUAGAAAUGCACGUGUACUCACAUCAUGCAGCAUUUACAUAAUUAUCAUCACAUUUUACCCUACAAUGCAUGCAACAACAAUACAUAAAUGCUCAAUUAAAUGACACAUUAGGCAUAGAGGGAAUUCCAACAAGUUUGGAUAGCACCACCCACCUCGUAGGCGUACUAGGAUCCUACAACGGUUUCCUUGGGAUUUUUAGACUCCUAGUUCGUCACCUGCGGCAAAACGAAGCCCUAUUAGGCCAUUUUGUUCAUAUCUUUACAUUGGCUUUUCGUAACGUUAAUCCGAGCGCACCAACGUGUCGGAAAUACCCCCAAUUAGGUUUCUAGAGGGUCAAUUUUAUUUUGGAACCCUCGCAUGCAAAAACCCCAAUUUGGGUGCCCUAGCUCAUAACAUAUAUCAAACCUAGGGUUUGAUCUCAUUGGGAAGCAAAAGUAGCUUCAAUCUACUCUAGAGACUCCAUAAAAAUCAUUCUUAGCUUAAUCCAAACCCUAGUUUCGGUUCUACCAUGAAAGGGGUUGAAGCUCUCCUCUAAGCUUCACCACCAACACCCAAAUCCAUGGUUUUGAUCUCAUCCACAAGCAAAAGAAAGCUUGAAACAUUCAUUAGGCUCAAUUAGAACCAUUUCUACGUCACUUAGUUCUUAUUCUAGGGUUUUACUAUAAUUAGGAUUCAAGCUUACCUCAAAGCUUCCCCCUCCUUCAAGCUAGAAACGAGGGAGAGGGAGUUUCUUCACUCCUUCUUCUCCACUUUCUUCAUCUUCUUUUCCUUUCUUUUCUUUGUCUUCUUCUUCUCCUUCUUGUCUUCUAGAGAGAGAAAGAGAGAUGAGAGGGAGUGUGUGAGGGAGAGAAUGAGAGGAAAAAGCCCUCAAAGCCCUCCACUUAACCAUUGGGUUGCACAAAUGCAAAUGGGUCCCUCAACUUUGAUUUUAUUGAACUGCUCAAACUGGGCAGAUUUCGGGUUAGCGGACCGGUCUCCCCGACUUGGGAUCGGUCCCAGAGGGCUCUCCCCGCAGCUGCGCAGGGCUCUCCGCGAUGCAACCGGUCUCUCACUGGGGGGACUGGUCUCUCGGGGACCGGUCUCUCUCCGCAGGGACCGGUUCCCGAGAGCUGGUUUUCUGGGACAGCCGAUUUUCGGCCUUUCUCAUUUCUCACGCAUUCGGGGACCGGUCUCUCCCACCAGGGACCGAUCCCCGAGAGCUCAAAAACUGCAGUUUGCAGAUUUUUGAUUCUUAGCUCUCGAAAACCUCCCAUAACGCACUUUUAAUUAUUUUAACACCUUCGGACUUUCCGAAGUGUACCGUCCUCGCACUUUGGUCAAUUUGACUAAAGUUCGAUAUUUAUUUUCCGAAUUUUCGAUAUAUUACAUUCUCCACCCCUUAAAAUAAUUUCGUCUGUGAAAUUACGUAUACCUUAACUUGUCGACUCAAAUAAAUGCAAAUAAUCUCUCUGCAUGGUCUCCUCGAGCUCCCAAGUGGCUUCUCGCACCGCAUGGUUGCUCCACUGAACCUUCACAUAAGAAAUUCUGCGACUCCGCAGCUUUCUUUCUUCUCGAUCGAGGAUGCACACCGGGUAUUCCUCAUAAGACAUAUCCUCAAGUAACUCUAUAGGCUCGUACUCUAACACAUGUGUCGAGUUUCGAAUAUACUUUCGGAGAUUUGACACAUGAAAAACAUUAUGAGCUCCACGAGUCUCGGUGGUAGUGCGAGCUUGUACGCUACCGCACCCACACGCUCUAAUAUCUCGAAUGAUCCGACAUAACGGGGACUUAGCUUCCCACGGACCUCAAAUCGCUUUACUCCUCGCAUUGGUGACACUCUCAAAAAUACGCAGCCUCCAACCGCGAACUCUAAGUCUUUCCUUCGCUUGUCGGCAUAGCUCUUUUGCCAAGAUUGCGCCGUCGCUAACCGUUGACAGGCAAGACGAACCUUUUCUUUCGCUUCCCGAACUACAUCCGGGCCGAGAGCCGUUCUCUUGCCCACGUCGCUCCAAUGAAUAGGAGAAAGACACUUGCGUCCAUAUAGUGCCUCAAAUGGCGCCAUCGCUAUGCUCUCUUGAUAAUUGUUAUUAUAGGCGAACUCCGCCAUUGGCAAGAAAUCAUGCCAUCCUCCUUUGUAAUCUAGCACACACGCUCGAAGCAAGUCCUCGAGGAUCUGUAUUGUCCGCUCCGACUGUCCAUCACUCUGAGGAUGAAACGUCGUGCUAAAGUCGAGCCGUGUGCCUAGCGCAUCCUGCAAGCUCUUCCAAAAGUGGGAUGUGAACCUAGGGUCUCGAUCCGAUACAAUUGAUACCGGAACCCCAUGAAGUCUCACAACCUCGUCGAGAUAAACUUGAACUACUCUUGUCUCCCAACCACGUAGUAUGUAUCGGUAAGAAGUGUGCCGACUUUGUCAAUCAAUCCACUAUCACCCAUAUCGCAUCGUGUCCGCCUUGUGAUCGAGGCAAACUGGUAAUAAAGUCCAUCGCUAUAUCUUCCCAUUUCCAAAUGAGUAUUGAUAGACUUUGUAGCUUUCCCGCCGAAAAUCGGCGCUCUGCUUUUACCUGCUGGCACGUUAGACAUUGCGCCACGAACUCCCCAAUAUCUCUUUUCAUUUCCGGCCACCAAUAAUGCUCUUUCAAGUCCUUGUACAUUUUAGUGCCGCCCGGGUGUAUACUAUAAGGGGAUUGGUGCGCCUCUUGCAUGAUCGCCCUUCGCAUCCCAUCAUCUUUAGGCACACACCAUCGAUUUCGAAAUCGAAGUGCACCAUCGGCUCCAAUGCCAAAAUCCUCGGCAUACCGUUCUCAACUUCACUUCGUACAUUUUGAAGAUAAGGAUCCGAAGCUUGAAGCUCUUUGAUUCUUUCCAAUAGGGUCGGUUGCACAACUAAUGCGGCAAGUGUAGCCGGCACUUCCGGCGCUACCACUUCCAACCCAAGUCGUUGCAUUUUCUUUUGCAAUAGCGGUUGAGGCGUAAUUGCCAUCGCUAAGUUCUCCGCCGAUUUUCUACUUAAAGCAUCGGCCACGACAUUGGCUUUUCCGGGGUGAUAUAGUAUAGUGACAUCAUAGUCUUUUAGCAACUCCAACCACCGCCGCUGUCGCAUGUUCAAUCCCUUCUGGGUGAACAAGUACUUUAGACUUUUAUGAUCCGUGUAGACCUCGCAAUGCUCCACAUACAAGUAAUGCCUCCAAAGCUUUAGCGUGAAAAUCACCGCGGCUAACUCGAGGUCGUGAAUCGGGUAGUUCUUCUCAUAACUCUUUAAUUGGCGUGAUGCAUAAGCAAUGACCCGCCCAUUUUGCAUUAAUACACACCCGAGACCAACAUAAGAGGUAUCACUGUAUACUACAAAAGUCUCCCCCGGAGUCGGCAAGGCAAGCACCGGGGUCGACGUCAACCUGUUCUUUAACUCCUCGAAGCUUUGAUCGCAAUCGUCGCUCCACAUGUACUUUACUCCUUUAUGCGUGAGGCGCGGUAGUGGAGUGGUUAUCUUAGCGAACCCCUCCACGAACCGCCGGUAGUAGCCCGCAAGUCCAAGAAAACUGCGGACCUCCGCUACAUUCGUCAGGCGAGGCCAAUCCUUUAUUGCCUCUACUUUCUUCGGGUCUACCGACACUCCGUCACCUGAUACCACAUGGCCCAAGAAUGUGACAUCCUUUAGCCAAAAGUCACACUUCUUUAACUUUGCAUAGAGCUUCUCCUGUCUGAGUAUUUGCAACACAACUCUCAGAUACUCCUCGUGCUCCUCCUCACUCUUCGAGUAGACCAAUACGUCGUCUAUAAACACUACGACGCAUCGAUCCAACAAUGGCCUGAAGACUCGAUUCAUCAAGUCCAUAAAUGCUGCCGGGGUAUUAGUAAGCCCAAACGGCAUUACCGUGAACUCAUAAUGGCCAUACCGCAUACGGUAUACCGUUUUUUGUACAUCCUUCGGCCUAAUCUUUAGUUGAUGAUACCCCGAUUGGAAAUCAAUCUUCGAAUACACCUUGGACCCUUGCAACUGAUCGAAUAGAUCGUCAAUCCUUGGCAACGGGUACUUGUUCUUUAUUGUCACUUUAUUCAACUCGCGAUAGUCUACGCAGAGUCGAAGUGUGCCAUCCUUUUUCUUCACAAAUAGCAUCGGAGCUCCCAACGGUGACACGCUUGGCCUCACGAAGCCUUUAUCGAGAAAGUCUUGCAAUUGGCCCUUUAGUUCCUUUAGUUCCACCGGUGCCAUUCUAUACGGAGCCUUCUAAACUGGUUCCACCCCGGGAAUCAAGUCAAUGACGAACUCAACUUCCCGGUCCGGUGGCAGUCCCUGUGACUCCACCGGAAAUACAUCUGGGAAUUCGCAUGCUACUCGAAUAUCCGCCAACUCUGGGUACUCCUUUCGAGCAUCUACCAUGGUUGCCAAAUAGGCCUUACACCUUCCUUUGAUCAUCCUCUUCGCCCUUAGAGACGAUAUGGUCGCCGCGAAGCACCUACUUUUGCACGCUUGGUAUACCAAUUCUUCUUUAUUAGGCUCACGAAAAGUGAUCACCUUGCUUUCACAAUCUAUAACCGCAUAGUACUUGGAGAGCCAGUUGGUCCCCAAGAUAACAUCGAAUCCCCACAUCUGAUCUAGCACUAGCAGAUCAAUCGGCAUAAUCCAAUCGCCUAUUUGCACUGGACACACCAAACACUCAUUAUGGACACUGAAUGCAUAUUCUGGGGCGUUCACCCACCAGUAAUUCUCGUUGUGUACCAUCUCUAUACCAUGAGUUUGAGCAAAUGAUGUGCUCAUGAAUGAAUGAGAUGCGCCUGUAUCAAAUACUGCUCUAGCUCCAGUGCCUUUAAUCACAAUUAUACCUGCCACAACGUCGUCUGGUGCUGCAGGCUACUGCUCCUCCACCUGAGCGGUAAAAACUCGGCUGAUAGGCAUCUCGAUCCCUCCGGCUGACGCGGUGAUGACGCGCGCCCAGCCGACAUUGCUGGUGGCAACCCCGCAAGCUGUCUCGGGGUAGACGGUGAUGAUGCCACUGCCGGUGAAGACGACGUCCAUGUCGGGCACUCCCGGAUAAGAUGUCCCGGUUGGCCACACUUGAAACACUUGCCGUCGCGCUGUGGGCAAGUCGACACUCGGUGCUCACCACCGCAAAUAACACAUUGAGGAGGUCUCCAGUUGCUCGACUGCUGUCGGGGAUACCGAGGGGGUUUCUUAGCAUUUGGCCGUCCCCCAGCACCACCCGUCGUUCGCUUCUUGCCUUUGUCCGUUGACUCGGCGAUAGCGUCCCUUUCUUCACGUACAUGGGCGCUACCGUGCUCCGCCCACAAAGCUCUAUCAAAGACCUCCGCAAAGAUCGUUAACUUCAAAAUCUGCACCUUUUCAUAUAUCCUCGGCUGGAGUCCUCGCAAGAACCAAUCAGCCCGAUCCCGAUCAUCUCGUACAAUAUCGGGAACGCAGUCGAUAAAGUGAGAGAACUCUUGCUCAUAUUCUCCCACCGAUCGGUCACACUGUCUCAACUUGCGGAAUUUUUCUUGCAACCUCCGCUUCACCGCGUCGGGGAAGUAGUUCGCGAACACCGCUCUCUUGAACUCUUCCCAAAGCAUGAGCGGGAGAUCGGCAGGUCGAUCCCGCUUGACUCGCUUCCACCACACCAUCGCCGCCUUCUCAAGAUAAUGGGUGGCAAGGUAUACCUUGUCCUUCUCCGAGGUAUUGAGGUCCUCGAAGAGCGUUUCUAUCGAGUCGAUCCAUAACUCCACAACCGCUGGCUCCACCAAACCACCUUCAAAGACAGGUGGGUUGAACUUCUUAAACUGGAUGAGAGCGGCCAACGUGCGCUCCCGCUCUGCCUCUAUCGCCGCACUAUCGGGAUUUGAAGUUCCCGAUCCGGCCGGCACGGCCGUAACUGGCACAGCCGCAACUGGCUCCGCCGCUAAACCCUUGACCGCAAUAGGGGGCGCAGAAGGUCCGGCACCCGCCUGCGACGCUGCCGCCUGUUAUCGCUCAAUAGCCUCUUGGAGCCUUUGGAUCUGCUCCCCUUGGCUUCGCACAGACUCUGCUUGCUGCAGCAUUACUCCAAUAAGCACGGCCACUUGAUCCCUAAGCUCUCCAUCGCCACUCGCUCCGGAUCGCUCGGGCUCCACACUCGGCUCCUCAGGCAUCGACCUCGUCUGCGGUCGACCACGAGGUGCCAUUGCUUCCUGAAAAGAAGCAACUCACGUUAGCUACUCGACCAACAUUAUUCAUCAAUACCCAAUUCGGCGAAAGCAACUUAUGCAUUCGUUCUCACCCCAAGCAUCAUGUCGUCGGCCGCCCGACACGAAACAACGAGUAGGAAACAAAUGAAAAUUAAACUUAGCCUCUAAUCACAUUAGAGACGGCCCAACUUAACCUAAUCACAUGCUUUCGCUAACUUUGAUUCCACGUCACUCACGUUUUCUAGAUCUUUAAGGUCUUCCAAUCCAAAGGGUCUCUAGUUCCAUUCCUAUUCUUUCACUCUGGGCUCUGAUACCACGAUAUCUGUCACGCCCCAAGACCGAUACCAAUUUGGGCCGGCCCGAGCACGUCAAACAGACGCCGAACGGACAGAGUUUCCCAUAUCCGCCAAAGACUCAUCACCUGUACAAUUUCAACCAAAAAGUGUACUAGCGGAAACAUACACAAACGGCUUACACGAGGGUAAGCAAUAGCCAUGAGUGAAAGUGUCACGCCCCGGGACCCAGCGGAAGCCCGCCCGGCGCGUGUCCAGACCCGCCAUACGUCUAAAACAUAUAAGGCGUCUAAAAACAAUAAUAAUAAAAGCAGUAAUAAAAGACAUCUAGGAGUAUCAGAGCGUAAUAAAUGUCUAAAUGCUACAACAAAGGAUAAGGAUAAAACUGUAAAUCCACUAAAUAAAACAUAAAGUGAUACAAGGAAAUCCCAGAUACAAGUGCUAUAGGUAGAUACAUAGGUGGUCUCUAUACAUGGAUACAAAAACCUCUCACUCUCUCAACUACAAAAAGAAAGAGUAAACCACCUAGGCAAAGUACCGCUCCUCGCUAGCUAGCUAAGCGAUCCCCUUGCCGCGAUCCCGUGCCUCCGCCGGUGCCGAAGGCUCUGAAAAGAAAACCAGAAAACAGGGGCGUGAGAACUAUUAAAAAUAGUUCCCAGUGGGCAAUUACUGACUUCAGUGAACUGCGCCACAAGGCCCAAAAGCUACAAAAAGAUGUCAGUGACAAACAAUAAAGUAAAGCGAAAGGUAAGUAAAAUGUAACUUACUGUAACAUACAGUCUCUACUUAGCAUGAAUUGCAUAUGUAAUAGAGCAACAAUAUCAUGAAUGUACAUGGGUGUGUAUGACAUGCAUAAGCAUAGAAAUGCAACUAAUCCGAUGUCCUCAAUGCAGAAAUAGCAAAGGUGUCAUUGUUUACUAUUCUAGUCCAAGUCCACUUUAAUAGUUUUAAAGUUCACAUAGCACGUUCUGUCACUAAGUCCCAAUCAUAUAAGACCCACCCGAAGGCUGUCUGGCCUGCGCCGUGCCUAAUGGCCCCGUGGUAGUCAACAUCCCCACUCUAGGGAUGAGCCUCCCCCACGGCAAUCCACUUCGGCGCCCAAUCCCGCACGGGCGAGCAUAUGUCGCGAUGGCUAUCUCCGGAGUGCCGGCUUGUAGGGAGCGACCCUCACAAGCAUGUGCGAAUGAGCACAAUGGCAAGCAAGCAAUGAUCCGUCUCAAGAACCAAGUCCUCAUGUCUAACAACAUGGAAUAUAUCAAGUAUCUCAAUGGCCUAUCUCUAUGUCAUCAUGUCUCUAACAUGGAAUGUAGCAGAUAUGUAGUGGCCUAUCAACAUGUCUCUAUGUUGCAGUUUAAUAGUUUACUAGUUUCAAGUGCCCCUUGAUGACACUUUUGUUCAACGAGUUCCAAGCAUGGCAUUAAUAUGUUCAUGAUGCAUAAUUCACUCAACUCUAGCAUGGAGACAUGUUCUCAACUUGCAAAACCAAGCACUAUCCACAAUGCAUGCAAUCUACACAUAUAGCUCUACUAUAUGGAGUACAAAUUUUACGAUAUAUGAGGCAUGCAUGUUAAGUGUUCUAAAAUUCACAUAAAUCAUAUUUAGCAUGAAUUUGCAUUCAAAAAUACUUUACGAAAAGUUUAGAAGGCAUAGGGGCCAUUUUGCCCUAUUUUCAUGAAGUCAAACCCACCGAUGACAACGAAACUCUUCGUUUGCUCCAACGAGGGUGUCCUCCACACCCCUAGUACCCUAAAGGUAUAAGAACAAGUGUCACAUGAACCAAACGAACAAAACUUAGCUCAAUCAUUAAGCUAAUCACGCAUAGGUGAGGAAAACUCACCUCUAGUGCAAAAAUCUCCUCUAAGGCUUCAAAAGGGAGUUAGAAUCCUUCCAAUCCAAGCCAAAGGAAGAUUCUAAUCCCAACAAUCUAGCCUCAAAAGCCCUAGAUUCAAAAUGCCCAAAAUAAGCCCUAAAACCUCAUUCUAGGGUUUAAUUCCAAAAACAUCAAUAAAGCUAGGAAUUUAGAGAAAAGAACAAGUCAUUUACCUCUAAAAUGCUCCAAUCCAAGCUCUAAACCAUCAAAGUCCAAAGAUCUCUCCUUCACCAAGCCUCAAAUCCAAGCUUCUAGCUCCAUCAAUGGUGGAAAAGCAUAAAAGAGGAAAGAAAAGGGAUUAAUCCAUCAAAAUCCAUCUACAACGGAGAUCAAAUCCAAGUGGAGCAAGGUGGAGCUCCUCUCACCUUCUCCUCCUCAGGUCCCAGCACAAAAGAAGCCCUAAGGGGCGUGGGUGCUGUUAUAGAUAGGCUACAAUCGCGAAAAACCCCCUGCAGUUCAAACUGCACGAAAUCUGCCUCCUUGUACCGGUACACGGGCUCUUGUACCGGUACAAGGCCCACGAAAAUGCAAACCCGAGGCUCGGGUCGCGGGGUUUGCGGCUCUGUACCGGUACAAGCCCGAUGGCUGUACCGGUACAACCAUCAAACUUGUACCGGUACAAGACCAGUCUUGUUCCGGUACAAGCUCUGCUGCAGGCUACCCGAGAGCUGACCAAAAAUUUCGGUUUUGGGAUUUUGGUGCCAAGUCUCAAUCCAACAUCCUCGGGAUGCGUGCCAGGGGUCGGAACACUAUCAACGACCCUCCAAAAAUUGUGAAAAGGCUCCACACACAGAUCAAACACUCGAAUCUUGCGAUUUGCAAGAUCCAGUGCAUUACAUUUACCCCUCCUAAAAAGGAGUUUCGUCCGCGAAACUCGAAAAAGGCAAAGUACCUCAAGCCUCCAUCUGAAAAAGAUGGGGAUAGCACUCCUGCAGCGCACUCUCUAGCUCCCACGUGGCCUCGCGCUCCGCGUGGUUGCUCCAAAAAACCUUCACAUACGGAAUGUCCCGAUUCCGCAGCUUUGAACGAGAUGGUGGCUUGGAUAGGCCGCACGUGUUGCAGAAAGUGCAUAGCUAGGAAGCCUCCAUGUAAGUACUAGGUCGAGUACAAAACCUUCGAUAUGGUCACCUCGACGUACUCCUAAACUCGAAGCUCCUCGUUGGACACUUCUAAGAUCGAGCGCUUCACUUCNNNNNNNNNNNNNNNNNNNNNNNNNNNNNNNNNNNNNNNNNNNNNNNNNNNNNNNNNNNNNNNNNNNNNNNNNNNNNNNNNNNNNNNNNNNNNNNNNNNNUGUAUAGAGACCACCUAUGUAUCUACCUAUAGCACUUGUAUCUGGGAUUUCCUGGUAUCAUUUUAUGUUUUAUUUAGUGGAUUUAUAGUUUUAUCCUUAUCCUUUGUUGUAGCAUUUAGACAUUUAUUAUGCUCUGAUACUCCUAUAUGUCUUUUACUAUUGUUUUUAUUGUUGUUGUUUUUAGACGCCUUAUAUGUUUUAGACGUACGGCGGGUCUGGAUACGCGCCGGGUAGGCUUCCGCUGAGCCCCGGGGCGUGACAUCACCAUAGCAUGAUGUUCUUCAUGGAUGGUGUCGUGGAUUCGGCGUGACUGAAGGUGGUUCGUGGAUUCGGAUCGUGGGCUCGUGGAUUCGAGUGGCGUCGUGGAUUCGGCGUGAUCAAGGCUUUGUGGAUUCGAAGUAUUGGCAUUUCGUGGAUUCGGGACGUGGCGUUCGUUGAGUCAGACGUGGGGCGUGGACAACCCAUUGGUGUGCGCGAGAUCCCGAGAAGAUAAAAGAGAGGUUUGAGUCCGUGGAUUCGGUAAAUCACUUUGUAAUCUUUUAUUCUUAGUGGAUUGUUAUCGCGUGUUCGUCCCGUAGGUUUUUUACUCCAAGUUGGAGUUUUCCCACGUAAAUCUCGGUGUGAUUUUUAUUUUCUGCAUUUAUUUUUAUCGCAUUGAGAUUUGUGAUUUUUGGCCGUUACACCUAUUCACCCCCCUCUAGGUGUUUGAUACAAUCUAGAUAGAUCCUUGGACACCCCUAAACUUUCAAUUGGUAUCAGAGAGGGAUCUAGAUAAAUUGCUAUCUAAUGGCCGAAGACGGUAACAUUAAUCAACCACCACUCUUCGAUGGCACGAAUUAUGCCUAUUGGAAAGUUCGCAUGAAAGCUUUUCUAAUUGCAAUCGAUGAGUGAGUAUGGCAAUCUAUUCAAUUCGGAUGGAAACAUCCAACCGAAGUCAUCGAUAAUGCUACCGUCCCUAAACCUAGAAACAAGUGGACAAAAGAUGAAAACGAGUUAUCUUUGUUUAAUGGCAAGGGCAUAAACGCUUUAUUUAAUGCAUUGUCUCAAACGGAGUUUACUCGUGUUUCGGCGUGUAAUACCGCCAAAGAGAUUUGGGAUACUCUACAAGUUACGCAUAAAGAAACUUGCUUAGUAAAGGUCCAAAAAUUGCAAAUAUUAACGAGCAAAUUUCACUCAAUUCUUAUGGAAGAAAACGAGACCUUUACCGAGUACUAUACGCGACUACAAGAUGUUGUUAAUACAUGUGGUAACUUGGGAGAGAAAAUUCCGAGUUCUAAAGUUGUUAGAAAAAUUCUUUAGACUCUUCCGGAACGCUUUAGGGCAAAGGUUGCCGCGAUCGAAACCAUUAAGCAUCCGGAUGAGAUGAAAGUAGAGGAAUUAGUAGGCGCUUUACAAACGUAUGAAAUGACUUUUCCUACUAAUCAAUCUUUUACCAAGUCUUCUUCUGAGAGUACAUGGAUUGCACUUAAAUCUACAAAGGAAGAAGACGACGACUCUUAUUCCGACGGAGAUGUUUCGCUCGCUAAUUUCGAACAUCAACUCGCGCUCUUAACGGAGAAGUUUCGUCGAAAUUUUCGAAACAAGAACAAAUCGGGUCUGUCACGUCCCGUUAUCGCCAAUUUGGUCGAUCCGGGCCCGCGCACAGACGCCGAACGAACAGCACCUCCUCUGUUCGCCCAAGGCUCAACAACAACGAGUACAUGUAUACAGAAAUAAAUAAUUCUCAGGAUCACAUUUCAAUAUACAUGGCUUGCACGAAGGCAAGCAACAAAUACAAGUGAUAGUAAGUCUAACUAAACAUAAAAUCCACUGUAAUUUAAAACUUUACAUAACUGAAACCUUUAGUUAUUACAUGCUUCAUAUACAUUCAUUUACAUGUCUCUGUACAUCAAAAUAGAUGAUACAUGAACUCAAAAUGGUAACUACUAAAACUCUGGUGUCAGCUAGCUAAGCUGCAGGGCCCUUGCCACGAUCCUCGACCACAACGCUCGCACUGGAACCUGUAUGGUUAGUGGUGUGAGAACUACAAAUAAGUUUCCAGUGGGUUCGGCUGCCGACCUCGCCGACUCACCCACUAGGUCUACUCAGGCAUAUGUAGGCAAGAAAAGUAAGCAGAUAGUAACCAACUAUAACAUGUAACUACUACAAUGCCUGUACAAAGCUGAAAGAAAUAACAGAUAUGGAAACUGUAAAGAUGCAUGCAUGCUUUUCAUUAACUUUACCCAAUCUUUUGGUUAACCCUCUGGUUAACAGCUGGACAAGUACGUUAGUCCUGGGGCAAGUACGUUAGCCCAUAAAUUUACCCAAUUCAGUGGUUAACCCUUUGGUUAACAAUAACUCACCAACGAAAUCCCUCACGGGCCCUAAGCUGCCUCCCGAUGGGACCGUCUGUCGGACAAGUACGUUAGUCCUGGGGCAAGUACGUUAGCCCAACAAGUGACUACUCCGGAGCUCACUGCCUGGGGGGAGCGACCACCACCAAGCUAAGAAAACAGACUAUGUGAGUAAGAUCUGAUCCCCCUUUAGAGGAUUCAACUGACAACAAUGUCACAAUUUAACUCUAACUAGUUCUUUAUACUAGUUUCAUAAUUGCAUUUCUCGAUGCUAACCAAAUCUCUAGUCAUGAUGUCACCAAGUUUACUAUUGUCUUGGUCCUUUACAGUUUCAUACAUUCAUAGGGUUCUAUGUCCACAUUCUAAUGUUCAUAUGUUCUUACUAUCAAUAAGAAUUCACACGUUCAAUAUCACUUGCAUAAUGCCAAUGCCCAUACCCUAUAAUGCAUGAAUACAGAAGUAAAUAUGCUCAAUGAAUAGCAUAGACAUAAAAGGUGAUUCAAAGACUUCGGAUAGCACCACCCACCUGUAGUGGUGUCAAUCAACUAAAAUCCACGUCUCGGAAAGCGUCGACGACUAUCUCAGCGACUCCGUGCAAAUAGGACUAGAACGGCCGCUACCGUAAUUAGCGCGUCGCCGACCUGUCGGAAAGUCAAUUUAGACUCUUGGACAUGUUUACUUUUCACUUAUAAAGAAUUAGAAAAGAUUAACCUAGAGUCAUUACUCAUAUUCUUACAAAUUAGCAUUUCAAUGCUAUAUAAAACGGCAACUAUAGCCGAAAACCUUCUUUUGGCGAUAUCUUUGCGUAGGUUCGUCGGAUUGCCGAACCGACUUCGCCAACGCGUUUCUUUUACCCUCAAUUUGGUUUACGCGCGGUCAAUUUCGCAUUAGGACUCUUAUUUUGCAAAAGUGCAUUGGCGGGGUCAGUUUCUAUAAAAACCCCUUUCGAUGCAAUUUCACAAUUCAAUUUCUUCUUUUCUUUCAUUUUUCCUCUUCUUCUUUCCUUUCUUUCUUUCUCUCUUCUUUCCUUUCUUUUCUUUCUUUUCUUUCUUUCUUUCUUUUCUUCCUUUCUUUCUUUCUCUUUUCUUGCUUGCUGCCCCUGCAAGGCAGCAGCUGCUGCUGUUGACAGCAGCUGCUGCUGUUGACAGCAGCUGCUCCAGGCUGCUGCUGCUGCUGCUGCUGAGGCUGCUGCUGCUGUUGCUGCUGCUAGCUGCAGCUGCUGCUGCUACUGCUGCUGGCAGCAGCUGCCACUGCUGCUGCUGCUGAGCAAGCUGCUGCUGCUGAGGCUGCUGCUGCUGCUGCUGCUGCGCAUGCUGCUGUGCUGCGCAUGCUGCUGCUGCUCACUGCUGAGCUGUUGCUGCCACUGCUGCUGCUAAACUGCUGCUAAGCAGCAUAAGCUGCUGCAGCUGCUGCUGCUGCUGCUGCUGGCAGCAGCUGCUGCUUGCCCUGCUGCUGCUGCUGCUGCUUGCAGCAGCUGCUGCUCGCUGAGCUGCUGCUGCUGCUGCUUGCUGCUGCUGCUGAAGCUGCUGCUGCUGAUGCUGCUGCUGCUUGCUGCUGCUGCUGAAGCUGCUAUUGCUGCUGCUGCUACAACCAGUAGCAGCAGGGAGAGAGAUGAGAGGGAGAGAGAUGACAGGGAGAGGUAGAAAACUCACCUCUUAUCUUCUUCUUUUUCUUCUUCUUCUUCUCUUUACUCUUCUUCUCUUUUCUUCUCUUUUCUCUUAUUUUCUUUUCUCUUCUUUUCUCCCUCUAUCUCUCUCUACGUAUGGGCUGCAGAGGGGGGGAUAAGGAUGGGACUCUGGCAGGGAACUUAGUGGAAUUCCACUAAGCAUGGGUUAAUUACCAUAAUGCCCCUCGACUUAUCCGUUUAGCGACACGGAUCAAAUACCUUUCGCAGUCCCUUCCGAAAGUCCGAUUGAGCUCAAAUUUGACAGGAAUGUUCGUUUUUACUUAACAAGUCCACUGAAAUUUUAACAUUUCAGUUUCGACCCCGUUUGGUCACUGCGAACUGUCCCGAACUGUAAUCUUUAUCAGAUAGCUUUCGGAUGCUAUUUCUCUCUCUACGGGUGUCAGAAAAAUCUGAAACUUCAAAUAUAGCCUCAUGAAAACAUUCCUGACAUCUCUACGAAUUUUUAUAAUUUUCUGACACCGUGCAUUUUCUGCUAAUUUCUCAGUCCCGUUCUUUACAGAAAAUUUCAAUUCUUCUGUUUUCGCUCCGAUUUCGGCACGAGUCAUACCAGACUAACUUGGGUACUCCAUAAAUUAUCUCCAAGCCUCGCUUUAAUUCUUUAAAUCAAAGUUAGCGUCAGAAUUCCGAAAAUUCUAUUUAUAUUUCGUUUCGCGCCCAAUUUGCGCCGAAACACUUAUUUAUCAUUGGAAUUCAUUCUCACGCGUCCAAAGUCACUCG